AUUCCAUGGCUGAAUGUUAGAAUUAACGCCAUGAGAUUGAGGAGGUUGUGUCCAGAAUAAAAUUGCCCCAUGCGUGGUCAUGUUUUGAGUAGGAAGAUACUGACUGGGCACAUUCAUCUCAUGCAAUGGAUGAAAGUCUGAUGAACUUGCACCUACAGUGCUUAUGGCAUUAGAGCUCAGGUAUGGCAUGGCAAGAAAUGAAGUCUCUCUCCAACCAUCUUCAUUGCUUGCAAUCACAGGCUGACCAUCUUCAUUGCUUACAAUCACAGGCCGACCAUUGCUUAUGGCAUUAGAGCUCAGGUAUGGCAUGGCAACAAAUGAAGUCUCUCUCCGACCAUCUUCAUUGCUUCCAAUCACAGGCCGACCAUCUUCAUUGCUUGCAACCACAGGCUGAUGCAGACCCACUUCAUCGUUAUCUGGUCUGCUGCUCGAUUCCACCACUGUUUUACCCUUCAUCGCCUUUCGGGCUUCCGAUCUCACUCGGCCAUCAACAUCCUUGCAGUCAUUGAUCCCAUAUCCUCCAACUCCGGCUAAGUGGGCCUUGAUCCUGGUCGCGCUUCCAGCAUACGGCUUCCCACAGAAGUUGCAGUUCCAGUGUUUGUUAGGCAGCAAUUUCACAUACUUCCAAAAGGGGUCCGUCUCUCUAGGCAUUUUCUCUGUAUCCCACAAAAGAAUGGACAGAUAAGUUUCAAGGAAGACCUUGAAUUUUUUGGGUGAAGAAUGACGCCGAGGCCUGUAAGAUAUUUAAUUAAUUUCGGACUUAGGAAUUGGGUCAAAAUCUUCAUCAAUCCCCAAUUCUUUUAGAAAAAGGCCCUGCUUCAGUGACCCCCACCCUCAUUUCUACCCAAGUUCUCUUUUCACUCUCAGAUAUGAAGAUGACAUGUUUGACUGGGUUCUGGAAAUUUUGCUCUUCAAAUUUGUAACUACUCUUUUGUUUUUUUUUUUUUUUUCAAUGUUAUCUUAUCUUUGGGAACGUGGUUUUCUUUCUUGUUCAAUGCUCAUGGGUGUGCACGCUCUUUCUUGGGUAAUCUCUCUAUCAUGCACUCUCCCUUCAGCCCCUAAUCUUGCCCCUUGCCUCCGCUUACAGCAAAAUUUCAUGGCCCGGGCUCAGCUGCAGCCUCAAGUUUUUCCAUUUACUUGGUUGGGUUCUUUACAAACUAAUUCUAAGGAUACAUGGUAAACUCUCCAGUUUACAAGCAUCAAGUAUGACUUGACCGGUGGCUUCCAAAAGCUAGUUUGAGUUGAGAUUUGCAACGUAGUUCAGACAUGGCUCUAUAGCAUCUGGGACGAAGCACCUGACUGACCACUCAGCUAAUUAUGAAAUUUAUUUUUGAUAAAGCAAUAAAAGUCUUCGUUCUGGGCUCACCGGCACCAUUAUGUAGUAGAGAAUACAUCCCGAUAAAAAGAAAAUCAACAAAACCCAGACAACCCAUGAAUCGACGAUUACGGAGCGACAUAAACUAGAGGACAUGAGACCGAAGUGCAAAAAUUUGGGUUCACAGGAGAGAAAUGGGAGAACGAAAAGGGAGUAGAGAGAUUGAGAGAGAGCGAGUACCUCCGAGCCGGUGAGAAGAGGGCUUGGGGUUGAAUCCCUUAAGAGAGCGUCCGCGAUGGGAAACGAGGUUAGCUGAAGCGGAGGAAAAAACUGGGGGCAACCCUCUGGUUUUGUGCAGAGGAAGGAGCCGAACACCUCGACGGACAUCGGAGACCUGCCUGGGACGAUCUAUAUAUAAUAAUCUUAAAACGUCUAGGACGUCUCAAGAAAAAGGUAAUCUACAUGUAUUCCGGAUGGGUGGGUUCACACUUGACUAAGCAAAACGUUUCUGACUGUCCAGUAGAAAGUAAGGCCUUUAUUUAUAAUAAUAAAAAUUAAGAAAACGUCUAAAACGCCUCAAGAAAAAGGUGAUCUAUAUAUAUAUAUAUAUAUAUAUAUAUAUAUAUAUUAUAUAUUCCGGAUAGGUGGGUCCAUACUUAGACUAAGAAAAAGUUUCGACUGUCCAGUAGAAAGUAAAGCCUUUAUUUAUAAUAAUAAAAAUUAAGAAAAUUUCUAAAACGCCUCAAGAAAAAGGUGAUCUACAUAUAUGUAUAUUUAUUUCGGAUGGGUGGAUUGUACUGACUAGGCAAAACGUUUUCACUGCCCAAUAGAAAAUCUAUCACUUUUUUUUGGAAAAAAAUCUAUUACUGACUCCACAAACAAAUUCAGUCGACGAAUGUUAAUAUGCCUAGAUUAUUAGAAUUAUUUUGAUCAUAUUUCUGACUAUCACAAAAUUUCAAUCAGCAUUUAAGCACCAAAAAAAAAAAAAAAGGAUUCGUCAAAAAAAAAGGAUUCUCACGAGUCCGCUCAAGGUUGGUUGACCCAAAGCAACGUGAAAAUUUUUGGGUCCAAGUUGAAUAGACUCGAUUUUUUGGCAGGUCAGGAAAAAUGUUUCGAGGGUGGAUUUCUUUUUUUUUUCCUCAUCGAAAGUAAAUAUUUUAUUCAUAUCUCGAAAUGAUAUAUAAGAGGUUUAAAAUAAACAUAUUCCAAAAAGUAAAACAACAAAACACAAAAUUGCUAUGAUUGGCACACUUUGAUUUUACAAGAAUGAAUUUGUCUCAGCAUCAAAACAUAACAAAGGGCAAUCGAUUACUAAAUCCCACAUCAUCCACCGUAAUCCCCUUGUUUAUUCAAUAGACGGUGCACGCUUAAGUUCAGCAUUUUAACACCACUAUCAUACAAAUACACUAAAAAUAAGUUGAAAAAAGCUCCCAAAUCUAAAUCUAGAUAGGAUGAGGUUGGACAAGCACAAAAACACCUCUAAAGAAUUCACAAAUUUAGAUUUAGAUCGGAAGAUAAAAGCUCCUAAAACUCGGAUAAGUCACUGCUUCCAAGGCAUUAGGAACUCAUCUUAUUUCUUCUCGAUUUUGUUAACCUUCUUAAUUUGGAGGAUCUCAAGCAAUGGAUUGAUAUCAAACGAUGAAAGCAAAAAAUAUGCCAAGAGAGCAAAGAAGAGUAUGGGUAGUGAGCUAGGAAAAACAAAAAAGAUUAGAUGAAAACAAUAAAACAUUCUCGGAUCAUAUCAGGAUAAAUAAUCUUAGUUGAGAAGAUGGAGCCUCCCUUUGACUGACCAUUAUUUUUCAGGCUUGAACGGGAACAAAUUUAAUCAUUGUUUUAAAUUCCUCCGGCUCUUAACGAAUGCUAAAAGGAUUGGUGUUUUUUAAUUUCAAACAAAUUCUGGUUCUUUUUCUCCAAUCAUAUCCUUAAUUUUAAUUUAGAUUUCAAUACAUAUUAUUAUUAUUAUUAUUUUAUUUCUCUUCCCCUGCCAUCCACUAAAUUCAUCAAUAACCGAAAUUUAUGUUGGGAGUUAGCCAAGGAGAUCGAGAGGGAGAAAUGAAAUAGGGAAGGGGGUGUAUCAGCCUUGACAAGACAUGAUUGCGAGAAAGUAGCAAAUCACGGCGGCGGUGGGGCUCGAGAGGGGGAGGACGGCAGGCCCCUCGGCGCAUGCACCGCCAUCCCUCUCUCUCCAAUGCGGUUGGGUCUUGCGACGUCAGCAAUUGGUGAGGCGGCCCGCACAUUUGUGCUGACCCGGAGCUCCAUUCGGCAGCUCCGUGUCCCCAUGCUUUGCUACUAAUCGAUCGGCAAAUUGGCCAAUAACAUUAUUAUCCUUCUCAGAUUCAAUACGCGCGCCCUUCUCUUCACAUCCUUAUCAUUUGAGAGAUCAUCUAAUCCAGCUACAUUGACAAUCUUGUCUUGUGGUUCAUAGAUGCUAAACUCCUAAGAUACAAUGACCGGAACACAUCAUUAACAUGACUUUCUUUACUAGUAGGCAUUUAUGGAACAAGGGGAGUUGGCACCCUUGAGGGUGUCUAGGCGAGUCUCUAGAGAGCUCAUUGGAUCUUGCCCAAUCAGUCGUAAUGAUCGUCACCAGUGGAUGGCGGCAACUGUGGCAGCCAACGGCAGUAAUGGUAGAAGGAGAAAAGAGAAGGAAGAAGAACAAGAACAAAAGAAGAAGAGAAAAGAAAAGAAAAAAAUUUGGAUUGCUUAAUUUUGAAAUUGUUCUCAAGAACAAAGAAAUAACUCUAUUUUACUCAUUGAUUUUUGUUCUCGAGAACAAAAAUUUACCAAACAAACUUCUGUUCCAAAACUAUUCCUGAAAAAAAAAAUAAUAAAAAUUGUUAUUAUUUGACAAGUUGCCGAACGCGUUCUAAGACCUACACAAUAAAUUGGUUUACUUAGUGAUGGGACAAUCUGUAAUUAGUUAUUUUCAUUAGCAAAAUCUUUUAACCACCCAAUAGAAAAUCCGUCACUUGACUUGGCCAACAAAUUUAGGCCCCGAGUGUUAUUAUGCCUGGAUUGUUAGAAUUAUUUUGAUUAUAAUCAAAAUCCCACACAUUUUUGUUCAAACACAACAUCCACGUAGGAAAACUAAACUCUUUCAAAACGUCCUUUAGUAUGUUGGUCCAAAGCUUAUGAUCAAAUUCCUACAUUUUCUUCUAAUCUUGUUUCAUCGCAUGUGAACCGUCUACUGUAGCGUCUUAUAUAAAUCAGCGGUUGACGCAUUAGCAUUGCAUCGUAUUACGUUGAUCCGUGAGCUUUAUUUUCAUGUGAGAAGGAAGUUGUAAAUUUUACGUGUGUAAAGUAAAUGGUUUGGGAAUUAUUUGGCAUUAACUUUUCCACCAGAUGAAAUUUUUUGCAAGCCAUCCGACCAUGUCAUGCUGUGUUUCUGAUUUUGGCAAUCCAUCCUCUUUUAAGUGGAUUUCCAUACAUCUAUGUACUUGGAUCUCAACACAUUCUUUUAGUGGGAGCUUAUAUGGUCCUUUUAAGGGGUUGAUUCUUCCGUCAUAAUCCCAUUGCAAUUCCAAACUUUUUGUCAUAAGUCUUAUGGAAAGUAUCAAUAAAACUUCUAAGUUUUCAAUCAUUGACCAAGUUCUGUCUUUUUCAUAAUUCUACGAAUGCCAACUCUUCUAGGAAAGAAGAAUUAUUUGUAUUUGUAUUUGUAUUAAUUCAGUAUCAAGGAUUGUACGAUUCCCUCCAUAUAUUUUUUGCCCCUUAAUUAAUUGCUCUACGCAUCACGAGGGUCAAUCUAGCUUGGUCCAAGAAAGGUAAUAGGCCAGGCUGUCCAGUCUGUCAAGUCCCGCUCACGUGUCGCCCUUUCAGACACAAGCGCGCGUCCUAUUCUUUCGUUUCUCACGUUGAAUUCGCCAAUUCGAUUUAUUCGUACAGCUUUCGCAAUCCGAGGACGGUGCCAGGAAACUCCCAACGUUUUGAUCGAUCAUGUCCUAAACUGGAUCCAUGCUGGCCCGGUAACCAAUAAUUCAAGCUCCAACCCCAUUAACGGAGUAGCUUAAAGUUAGAAGCACCAACAAUCAGAGGACCGUCGACAUAACUCGUCCUUACGAAAAUUUCGUAAAAAGGAUCUUCCAUCCGAGGACAACUAUCGUGUGCGAUCGCCCCGCGCGGUCUGCUUUCGAAAUGCUUCCUGUAGCUGCAACCAAUCUGACCAAUAUCUUCUUCCACUUGACCUCCAUAAUGGAGUUUUUUUUUUUUUCUUUUUUUGGGGUCGGAUCCAUAACGGAGUUUAAUGGAUCUUAACUGUGUGCCCUUUUUGCAUAUCUCCUUUUUUUUUUUUUUUUGCACAUCUCCUUUUUCAGUAAUGUGAUGAAGUUUUUAGCUGUAUGUGAACAGACUUUUGUUUGUCAACACGGUAGGACUUCGGUCAAGGACCGGAACUUCUCGGGGAUGGUGUGCUUCAAACUAGAAUAAUGACCCCACAGAAAGAUGGAAAGAAGGAACUCAUUAGUCUCGAAGUUGCCAAUUUUAUAUUGGAGCUUGUCGACGGGUACGUUUCGAUGACUAUAUUAUGGUUCGAUAACACUGGAAAGUAAUAUGGUCAUUUGACAUGCCCAAAAGCAUUUAAACAUAAUCUCAAAAGGAACUGGUUUUAAUGUUGUCCGGAUGGCAAGAUGGCCGGAACAGAUUGCAUCCCUCGCUAGGUUUCAGUUGGAAGAAUCUGAUGCAAACGGCAAUUUGGGUUCUCUGUCCACCCCAGAGGAAAUUCGCAAUGAAGACUGAAGUCACGGGGUUGAUUGACACUAUGGACUAUGAAACGGUCCACAUAGUUGCCUUUACAAUGGAUACGAUUACGGGAAAUCUGUGAUUUACUAGUCUAUUCUUUAUUAAUAUCAUAUUACUAGAUUCUAAAUACACAUAUAUAACUUGAGUUUGUGAUGAACAUUGACAUAAAAGUACUAUACAAAAAUGUUAGAAAAGACACCUACAUUCUAGAAAUCCACAAAAGAGUCAAAUUAAGUAUGAGAAAAAUAGCAAUUUCACCAUGACAAGUACAGUUACUAAGUACUCCGAAUUAACCAAUUCAAAUUACUCGAAGAGGCGCAUUCAAUUGACAGGGGAAACAAAGGAGUACAAAACGAUCACGGGGUAAUAAGAAUAGUAGGGAUUCAUGGAGGUACUUGAAAUGUCUUAACAAAUAAAUAAUUAUAGGAGUGAAAUAUUGAUAUAAUUUGAAAAAAAAUAAAAGCAAGCCUGGACCAUAAAAAAAUAAGAAAAAUAUAUAGGAGGACUUACUUGAAGAGUACUUAGCACAUGCAUUUCCUUCGAUACCUCGAUCUUGCUCAAAAGGCAAAUCAGAUUUUGCCAAAGGUUCAACUUUCCCCACAAGAAGUAAAGCAAUGCAUUCCUUGGUCCUCACAACAUCUUUUGUGGACGAGAACAAAACUCUUAACUCCGUCGGUUCCCUUUAUUUUAAUAAACACAUUCACCAAAAAAAAAACCACAUUCAUAAGGCUCUCCAUCUCCCAUGGACGACGCCGAUCUUGUGAUAUCUAUUCAUUUUAUUUGGGUUUUGGCUGAAACUUUUUUUUUAACACUUCUUUUGCUAAUUUAGAGCGUAACUUUUUCUACGAACCGUUCAGAUCGAUAGAUGGGGGUGCCUCGACAUCCCAAAGGGAUGUGAUUUACAACUCCCCUCCGCCCAAAAAAAAAAAAAGAAAAAAGAAAAAGAAAGAAAGAAUAUAAUGGAUGUGUGUUGUCUGGUUUCAUCAUCACUUCUGGUGGUAAACUGGCAACGCAUGUGACGCCCUGUACGCUACUUACAUACUUUAUGGAUAGGUCAAGAAUGGUGGGCAGUGUCGUGUCGUGAGAUCUGGUCGACCUGAGAGAAGGUGAGGGAAAAUAGUAUCAUAGCCUUGUUGACCAGCGUCUUGUAAGACACGUGCUCAAUUAAAUCUACGAUAACAACUUUUUUCACAAAAAUCUAUAAUAUAAUUUCUAAAUGAAAAUAAUAUGACCGUUCGGAUUAUUUUUCAAAGUCCAUAAAAUCUCAAUGGUACCAAAAUGUUCGAACUUGCCAGGUUUUUAUUUACUUCCCCAAUCAUAUAUUUCCAUACUUUAAGCUAAUAUUAAAGUUCAGCUUACUCGUGAGGAAGACUAUUAAAAUAUUUAAAUAAAAAAUCAUAUUUUCAUUUAACAACUUGAUUUUUUAAAAUAGUUGACAAUAAUCACAAAAUCUCACACAUAUAUUACUACAUCAUACUUUGGAGUCAUUUGAUGACCACGUUAGCUGAAUUUGGUCGGAUUUGGUCUCGGAAGCAUUUGAUUAGUAAAUUUGUUGAAGUAGAAGGAAUUACUUAGACAAAUUAAAAGUAUAAUAAUGUAAUCAGAAAAAGUGUGAAAGUACAAGGGCUAAAAGUAGAAAUUUUCUUUGUCCGAGAGAUACAAUUUUCCGCAAAUUCAACAUAGAGUUGGUUGUGCCACCUAGUGAGAGAGCUCCUUAAGCACCGAUGUUGCGGUAAACUCACCUUUCAUGUCAAUGAACUACUGGGGUUCUUGCUCUUGUGUAAGGGCAGGUUACCAUUCACGCUGGUACUUAAAUGUUUAAAUAAGAGGAUUAGAGUAAAAUUGUUAGUAACAUAAUGGCUAGACAUUUCUUUUUCUACAUUUCAAUAGCAGGGGUAGUAACUUUGAUCCAUCGUAAGUCUCUAAUCGUAAGCUAUAUGUUGCCUUGGACAACAUGGCAAUGCUGUUGAGAUAUGGACGGUUCAUUGUGUCGAGUACAAUGCCUUCAUCUGAAAAUAACUACGAGUCGAAGUUCGGUAUAAGGUGUUCUCAUCAGGCGAUGCAACUGCUUUAAGGCAACACAACAUCUCGAAAGAGAUGUUCUUGCAAACAUUCUCUCCUCCUUUUAGAGACAGAUUUUGUCAUCCUCGUUUCUCACGUCCGAAAGGCAUAACCAAGAAAAAUUAAGAUGAAAGAAAGCGAUCAUAUGUUCCCGUAGUCAAUGCUGCUGUCAUCGCCCGCGACCCUUAAAAUCUUCUACAAAGGAAGUAAUUGAGUGAAACCGAAAGACAAGGAAAAUCCAAUCAUCAAGAACAGUCAUAUAGGUCUCCAUUUAUCGGGUUUAGUUUAAAGUAAGAGAAUUGAGUUCUUUCAUACACUCGUGCAUGCACUCUCCCCACCUUCCGUUUCUGCCAUUGUAUCAUACAGAGGCUGAUUUAACGUCUCCAGGAGGUAAAACGCUAGUGUUCCUCCCAGAAUUGCAGAAACCGCAAAGAGUGCAAGGGGGAAGCCGCCUCCUAAGACCACCAUGAAAGGUGCCAAAGUCGGACCCAUUUGCCACGCCUGAGCUGCCUACGCCUGAGCUGCACAGCCAAGAGCUGCAUUCCUCACCACGGUCAGAAACAGCUCCACCGUGUAGAGAAAGAGCAAAUUAAACGUGCUGGCAUGCCAAAGAUCCGGAGAAUUCCUCAACACCAUCCUCACCACUUUCCAUACCCGUGUAACAUCAUCAAGCUCUGCCGUUAUUGUAAAGGCCGCCACCUCAGCCACCCCCUAGGGGAACACAUUAAGGUAAAGGUUAGUCAGGAGAUUGACGACAUUUAGGUUUAUGCCGUCGUACAUGACUGAAUACAGGAAGUUGAUUGCCACGGCCAAGUGAUAGGCAACGUCACCACAUCAAUGAGAGACCCCUUCGUGUCCAUAUGAUCUUUGCAGGAUCAAACCUGAUAUGAGUUUUCAUUCACUUCCUCAUCCAGUGCAAGGAGAGGUUGGGACACCUGGAGUGCCAUAACUUGGCACGGAGGGACAUUUAAGUGCUAUAAUUUUAAAAUGGUACACUUAAGUGCCAAUAUCGGAGUAAAAUGGAACACUUAAGUGCCACUCCGGCGAAAAUCCGGCCAAAUGGCUGACGUGGCAAUUUUCCGGCGAGUUUGGUCCAAAACGGCGUCGUUUUGCACGCUGACGUGGCGGAGAAAAUACAAAAACGACACCGUUUCGUGUCUACGUGUAAAUAAUAAUAUAAAAAUUAAUUAAAUUAUAUUUAAAAUUAAUUUAUUUAAAAAAUUAAAAAAUUAAGAAAAAUUUNNNNNNNNNNNNNNNNNNNNNNNNNNNNNNNNNNNNNNNNNNNNNNNNNNNNNNNNNNNNNNNNNNNNNNNNNNNNNNNNNNNNNNNNNNNNNNNNNNNNAUGAACGGAUCGACUAAAUUCGCCGGAAUUCGCCACGUAAGUCAUUUGGUCGGAUCUUCGCCGGAGUGGCACUUAAGUGUCUCAUUUAACUUCAAAACAGGCACUCAAGUGUACCAUUUUAAAGUUAUGGCACUUAAAUGUCCCCGGUGCCAAGUUAUGGCACUUGAGUUGUACUUUUGCCAGUGCAAGGAUGACCCCAUCGGCGAGGUUUUCAUGUUGGCUUUGGCGAUAGCUCGCACAAGCUUCACGCCCUCGUCAAUCCUCCCACGGAAAAGAUAUCACUGUGGGAAUUCCGAGUUGUAAGGGAGGACAUAGCAUGGAGGGAAUGGAGGAAGCAAUGUAGAGAGCCCGCCUAGACGGAAACACAUAGAUGAUGCCGUACGAGAAGAUAUAGAAAGUGGACGUUCCUGCUGCCCCGCGAGGCUCAGUGAAUAUCAUGAAAGCGCGUACGAUCCCACCCGUGCUGAAUCCGGUAAUGAAGCGGACGGGGCAAUAGGUCUAGUAAUCCGUAGGGUCGUCAAGCAACAAAGGUGGUGUUCAACAUACAACCACCUUGAGAGAGCCUUUUCUUCUCAAGAACGAGUCUGAGGCACGGCCAAAUGUUCCGGCUCCUGCGACAUACGGCAUAAGAAGCCACCAGACUAUGAAUCAAUCCCUCAGAAAUAGCGUCUCGUUAAGCAGAUAGAUAACAAGUUUAUGCGUAGACGUUUGUAAUUGCUUCUGUUUAUAAUGCACCCUCCUACAGUUUCUUGCAUGAGGAGGAAAUCCAAUUAAUCGAAUCUAAAUUGAACUAUUUGUUUUUCAUUUUGCUUCCAUUUAUCGUUUGACGCUCGAGUCAAGAUUAGACGAUUGUUCUUAGGAAAAAGGAUGAUGAAAAGAAAGAGACUGAUUGAGUUGACUGCUUUUCCAUCAACUAGCCCAAGCUGAGAAUUAUACUGCAUCUGUGAGAUUGAAGAGUAUUUUCUAUGAAGCUUAACCACAGCCAGUCAUACAUUCGAUAAGGAUAAUUUAAUUUAAGUUGUUGGUUAUAUAUCACAAAGUUCCUAAAGAAUCAUGACAAGGCCCAUUCGGAGGACCUUUCAAUUUCCCUUCUGCAUACAUCAUCUACGUCUAUCAUUGGUUUGAUUUCUGCUAAGUGCCUGAGGUGCUGGUGCUAGUCCUCGGACUACGGUCACCGAAUCCGGGCCGUGACAAUUUUGUAGGUAAAUUACAUCUCCGCUUUGUGCCUAAAGGAGCACUUCGUCAAUGCGCUCUCUCUCAUCCCCACACACACUUGCAUUUGCGAUCAAUGUCAAAUCCAAUCAACAGUCACGUUUAUAUCACCAGCUGUCCUAAUGCAUAAGACUCUAAGGACGUAAAGAAGGACGUGGCAAACAUAACCCAAGAAGAAAGUUAAAAAGAGUGUUCCGCGACAAGAUGUGAGAGUGCUAGUAUGAACAAAAUAAAGGAGUUAAGGAAGAGAAUAAGAACACAAGAUUUAUAGUGGUUCGGCUUAAUCCAAGCUUACGUCCACUCUCCCACGAUAACAGCCUUUUUGGCUGCAUUCCACUAUGCAAUCAACAAGAGAUUACAACUCCGAGUGCAAACACUUAGUAGUAGAUCACACUAUCUCACUAAGUCACUCUCUUGGUAUUUCUCUCAUGAUUACAAACGUUUAAGCUCUCAAGAGACAAGUAUAUGAUCUAAAGUCGCUUAGACUUUGGAAUUAUAAAUUCUACGCUCCGUCUCUUACUUGCUCAUCGGUCCAUGAUCUCCUUAAAUACUCCUCCACUUCCAAACUACCGUUGGACAGUAUCCCGGAGAAUCGUCUUCCAAUAUACCCAUUGGACAGCUCUGUAUCUAGAAGAUUUGGUAGCCGUUGAGUGACAAAGGUAAAAUCCCAAAUUGAUUCCGAUCGCCCAUACAAACAAAAUCUUGGUUUCCAUAAGUAAAGCUUCUUCAUAUAGAAAGUUCUUGUCUUCAUCAUCCAAUUGUCAAUCAAUUAGAUUGAAUCAAUCAAAUCAAUCUUGAUGUGGAAUCCAAACCAGAUCACUAGCCGUUGUAUGAUUGGGCUUGAGUUACGAUUCAUCGAAUCUGGAUGUAAAGUCUAAGUCUUGAGACUUUACGAUAUGAGUCUUGAGACUUUACAAACUGGGUCUCUAGACUUUACAAUCUGGGUCUGUAGACUUUAAGGUCUGUACCCAAUUCAGCUUCAGCAUAGAGUCUGUCUUCAGACUUUGAGUCUUGAGUCUGGCAGUCUUCAGACUUUGAGUCUCGAGUCUGGCAGUCUUCAGACUUUGAGUCUUGAGUCUAGCAGUCUUCAGACUUUGACACAGAAGUCUGGAAAUCUUCAGAAUAUAUUUUGGACAUGUGUUACGUUCAGUCUUCUGGUCGUCUUCUGACUUUGAUAAUAUCCUCUACAUGUUUUAACAUCUGCAUGGUCUAUUACUCAACCAUCAAACAUGUUAGUAGCCUUUGAUUUAUUUUGUCAUCUUCAAAACAUCAUAAGGGAUUUCCCUAACAAGAUGCCCACCUGAAAAUCGGUUCUACUUACAAGGAUUUAUUCACAUCAGAAAAGAAAAAAGAAAAAGAAACUCCUCAUAUCUCCUCUCGCGUCCUAUCGUUUCUCUUCUUAAACUUUGUUCCUCUAGAGAUAUUUGUCAUAUUUCUUUUGAUUUUCUAUAUCUAUUUUGAUUAUACAUAUCUAAUUUAAUUGUCUUUGAUAGUAUAGACUCUCCAUGUACUCUUUUCUAUGCAUCGAAAUAUAGGAAAUUUCCUAUCCUCUCUCCCAACAAGAUGUUAUUUCAUGUGUUAGAAUAAUUUACCUAAAUGAAUAGCUCUUUGGUCUACUUUAUUUCUCAGUGGCCCUUUUGACAUGUAUCUACAUUGUUAAAACAGAGAAUUAUUUUCGUUAUUUGAGUUUAAUGAGAUCUGAAAAAGGAUAAGUCAAAUUUUACUUUUCUAGACUUCAGCAUCUUUCCAACAAGGUUGUCAGUAUUCAUUUUGUUUUACUAAAUGAGAAAUGUUGGACAUACAAAAUAUUUCUAAAACUGAUAUUAAAUUUUCUGCGGCCCUUAAUCCUUUGUCAUCUUUAUAUUCCGAUCGUUUCAUGAGCACGAAAAGUGAUUGUUGGACACAUAAGGAUUUGUAUAUCAGUUGAUGCCGAAUUUUCGUAUAGUUAGAAUGACUCUUUUUGUAAAGUCAGUGCGAGAAUCAUGUUUUGCAUGUACAAGGAGCGCCUUGGCUGCAAAAAACAAAACAAAACAAAAGAGCAAGGACCAUUGCCACUAUUAUUCAUUCAAAAUUAGGGACUAUGUUUUUUCCCUUAAUUUCCAGACAGCGCCAUAACAAUGAAAUUUCAAUAAUAAGAUAACCAUUACGCGACACUUUCAAGCUGAAAUGAAAGUAAUUGUGUGGUACGACACAAGGGAUAGAACCGGAGGAAGCGUUCAAGUGCAUACGGGGCAAGAAGAAGGUCCCACUCCAGCGACUCCCAUGUUUGCCGAUUGUCUAUUGUAAUCACUCGAAGAGAAGGCUGAGGAGACGGGAGGCCAUCAUCAGGCAAGAAGAGCUGCACAGGAAUGGUCUUGAGGUGAGGACAUCGUUUCGCACUAAUAUAUCCUAGGGAAUGGCAACUCAUGGUGCCAUCAUGCCAUCACAUAUGCUCCUCAGUUUCGGAAGAUCCCAUAGAGUCGGGCAUGUUAAAUCUGGGAAGGAGGAGGGCGUCAUGUUGGGAACGGUGCCUAUUAUCACCUCUAUUCCCUCGCACUCUUCAACACCUGUUGGAGGAGAGGGAGGUGGAGCAACAUGUUGUGUGUCAGCAACACCUCCUUCACGUUGUUGCAUCCUUUUAUUAUGAGAUUUUUAAGAAGACAAGUGACACCUCUUGGAAAUGGACCGCCAAUCAUCUCCUCUAAUUUCUCACAAUAGCAUGUUGUAAUGCACUCCGGGUUUGGAAGGCAAGUGGUCAGCCACUCCCAUUCCACCGCUCGCUUCAUUUUAGGACACUCACCCACAGAAAUGUUUUGAAGACUAGCUGCUGCUAUAUUAAUCCCUGUAGUACCUCUGAGCCCUUGAUAUGCACAAGUAGUAGACUUGGAAGCCCCUGCCCCUCUUCUAACUUCAGUCUGGAGCACCCAGUCACAUUCAAGCUCCGUAGGUGAGGGAAGUGGAGAGGACCCAGCUCUUCCAAGUUAUCACAUCCAUAUAUCUUUAACACCUCCAGGAUCUCAAGUGGGCCCAUGUCGCAAAAACUUGUCAACCCAUCGCACAAUCCUCCAUCCAGUACUUGAACAUUUUUCGGAAGUAGGGCACAGCCAUCCCCACUAAUCCCUCCAUCUACUCUUGCUGCGACACUGCCGCAACUAUCAAUUAUUAUAUGCCUCUUUUGAUCAUGCCAACGGUAAUCCUCUACUAAUACAUUCAACGCCAGACUACUGUUGGGAGCUGUCCUGCCCGAGAAGCCUCACGCAUGCAUCGAACGUUUCCACAUCUGGAACGCAGCAAUAGAGUGCUUCCAUCUUCUUUAAUUUUGCCUCUUCCCCUGCCCCCAUCUCUUGAAUCGCAAGAUAUUGUAGGUUCCCCAGCUUCCCUAGCACUCCUUCUGGUAACAUCUCAAUCUUUGUGCCAUCUAGGUCGAGGUACGUUAGCUCUACCAGCAUCUCCAAACCCUCUGGCAUUUUUUCAACACCUGCACAUCCUUUGAGGUCCAACUUUCUUAGGGAUCCCAACUUUCCUAAAUAAGAAAUACGACAUAAUGCUGUACACCAUUGCAGUAACAGUGCUUCCAAGCUCUCCAAGUAACAGAUGGGGUCCGGUAAUUCAAUGAUUCUAGUGUUUCUGAGAUCAAGUACCUUCAGCCCAUUUAGAUGCCUGAAGAAAGAUUUAUGGAUGAAUUCAAACUUGACAUUGCCACCCAACAAGAGCCUUGUAAGUUUAGGGCAAUUUGGUGAUAUACUGUACGGGAUUUGUUCCAUUUUGUUGCCUUGUAGAAAUACUUUUUCCAAAUGAACAGUCCAGUAAUCUUCCUGUGGAAUAUCUUUCAAUCCCCAGCAGGCCUUGUUCAUGUGAGUUAUGCUCGUCACUGUUUGCAAUGUCAUAUCUCUUAUCAGGGGGUGCACAGGCACCUCUUCUUCUAGAUUAUCCCAUAGACAAGCCUUUCUGAUUUUACCUAAUAUGGUGUUACAUUGGUCGUAUAGUUCUUGCCGAGUGGCAAUUCCACCUAACAAGCCCUCAUCUAUGAAAGACUCUGUCAAAUCCUCCCUAUGAGCUUAAGAAAUAUCUUUUGCAAAACAAAGUAUCAAAUGCAGGAAACAUUGUUGCACUUGAGGAUUACCCAAGUUCAUGUAAUUGAGUUUCAGUUUCUUGAACGCGUCAAGUUCCAUCCUCGAGUUUUCUAAUCUCUACAACAGGUCUUUCCAUUUGUGCACUUCCUCCACUCCCCUCAUAGGAGUCGCAAUCUCAAUGAUCCCAAGUGGCAAACCCCCACACUUAUCCAUAAUAGACCUUGCAAUUUUUUCAACUUCUGAUGGAAGUUUCUCAAAGUGAAGUUUCUCCGAAAGUAAGCUCCAAUAAUCAUGCUCAUUUAGUCAUUCUAUUUUCAUUUGUUUUUGGCAUUGCAUCUUAUGACACACAUCAAGAGAUCGAGUUGUCAGUACCAAUGUGACAGCCCAGGCGGCGGUGCACAGGAAGGAUGGAUGGUGGUGCGUCUGGGCCUCGGUCCCCGGACGUGCGCAGGGAGGGGGCGCGUCUCCUAUCCCACAUCGCUUAGGGGGGAGAGUCACGGUUUAGUUUAUAAGGCUUGGUUUUCUAACCUGUGUAAUGCAUUUUAAAGCCGUGAGGGCCAAAGACUCAAAGCGGAUAAUAUUACACACUGGGAGGCCCGGGUCCUUAUAUAUGGUAUCAGAGCCAACUUCGGAUCGCGUGUGGGGCCGUAGUGAGGGUCCCUUCCCAAGGGUAGGAGGGAUGGCGGUACGUCCGCGCCCUCGGUCCCCGGACGUGCGCAGAGAGGGGGUGCGUCUCCUAGGCUAGUUUAUAAGACUUGGGUUCUAUCCGGGUCCUUACAACCAACUUAAGGCCAUUCUUUUCAACUGGAAUUCCAAAGUGUGCAGAGAGGGGGUGUGUCUCUUAAGCUAGUUUAUAAGACUUGGGUUCUGUCCGGGUCCUUACAACCAACUUAAGGCCAUUCUUUUCAACUGAAAUUCCGAAAUCCUCAACUUCGAAGUGCAUCCAUAGGCCAUCUAAAUAUUAUUGAACUUAGGAUUCUCAAGCAGCAUUCUAUUAUGGACAUAAGUUUAAACGGCUGCUUGCCAACUCAUCCCAUUCCAUAAACGCCAAUAAUGAAAAUCUCAUCUUCCGUCAAAUAGUCACAGAUCUUUUUAAUUAAUUCUCACUUUCAUUGCCUAUUAGCUUUGAUAUUACCAGGGGUGAGCUUUUCCUGUAUCCUGCAGCACAUGUCGUCGACCCUCUUUGGAAGCUAUUGUGAGCUAGAAUGUCUUCAACUUCUUUACUUAGGUCAUCUAGUCGCUCCACUUGCUGCGGAGAAAGAGACCUACCUUCUCCGAAUGAUUGCACCACGCUCCAUUGUUCCCCUUUUAUCCUUUUCGCUUUCCUGCACCACGUCUCCAACUCAUCCAUGUCAGCUUCUGUGCUGCUUAGUUCUUCCAGCUUUAGUUUCAGAGUUGACAUAUUCUCACCGACAAGCCCACGGGUACCUGGUUAGUUAUCCAUGAGUGCAUCAUCAAUCCUCGUAUCUAAUAUCCACGAGUGCAUCAUAAAGCUAAAUGAAAAUUUAUGAAAAGAAGAACUAAGCAAUUAUGUCGACGUGAAAAUUUAAUAAAGGAUUAAGGGUGUAAAUAAAGGAUCGAGGAUUUUUCCCCGAGGUGGUUUGUACGAGCACUUGCCUUGUUGUUGGGGGCAUGGUCUCUUAAUGGGUUGAUCAGUCUGCAUGUCUGAGGGAUAUUGGGUUUAAAUUCUACUAUGGGUUUUGGGUCUGUUGGGUUUUAUUACUUGAGGUUUGGGUUGAACCUUUCGGCUCUUUAGGUUUCUAUGAGAUGGGUUGAACUGACAAUUGGGUCCAGAUGGGAAGUGACUCUCCUUACACUUUACAUUAAUAUAUAAUAUGAAAAUUAAAAUAUGUAUUUUAGCAUAAAUUACUCAUUAAAUUGUAUCAUAUUUAUAUGAAUCUUCCUCUUUCGAACAAAAUAAAGGUGGAAUUCCUAGUUCCUAUUAUCUCUUAAUAAAUAGUAUGAGGAUGCAAUCAUAAUUAAAAAAAUCCAUAAAGGCUGCUGACAACUGCAAUACUAUAAUAUUGAGAGAAAAUAAUAAAUAUUUAACAAAGAAAUAAACAUAUAGUUUAUAGGAAGAGUUACAACACAUGUUAGAAUUUUAGAUAAUUGUUAUGUAACAUUAAAACUCAUUAAAACUCACGAUCUUUUAUUGGACAAAAUUCACGGGAUUGAACGAGGCAAGUACAAAUCCUAAUUGAAAGCAAAAUAAGUAGUGAGUGCACAAACUUAUUAUUAUGUACUUGUUUAGAUACUGGCUUUCAUGUACCUAUUAUUUUAAAAAUUUUGAGCAUUACAACAUUAGACAAAUUCAAAUCAACCCCAUAAGCUAAGAGUAGAACUUAUAAAGUAAAAGCCACUGUAACGACCCUAAAUUGUAUCUUGAGAUUAAAAUUGAAAAGAUAAGAUACAUAUGAUUUCCACAUCUAAUCCACAAUGACCAGCGCCAUGACUUGUCCUAUUAAAAAAGCGCUAUACUUGCUUUCAAAUUGAUCUUUGAUUGGUGGGUGACCCAUUCAAAUGACGAUAACUAAUCGCCCGAAGAAAAUCUUUCGUCCUGCUAUCGUAUUUUCGGUAGUGUCCCAACAAAUGCACUUGCUACUAGGCAGAACCUCAACAAGCUCCCAUAAUGGAUCCAUCGCUCUCGGCAUUUCCUCUGUAUCCCACAGAAGAAUAAACAGACAUAAUUCAAGUGACUGGGUACCAACAAGGAAAUACUUUUUGUUGUUUUCAAUGUUUUCUUCUCUUUUGGAAGGCAGUUUUCUGUCUUGUUCACUGCUCAUGCUCGUGUAGUCUAUUUCUUGGAUAAUUUCUCAGUUGCCAUGGCCUUGUUGCGCUGAAUAUGGCAGUUUGUCGCAGCCAAGCGCUGGUCUUGUGAUUGCCAAUUAAAGAUUGCAAGGAGUGCAACCUCACUUGCAAAUCUACACUCAUCGAGCUCAAAAUCUCGCCCUUGACUCCGCUUACUGCAAAAGUUCCAUUUACUCGAGUUCUUUUAAUGUCAAUUAAUUCUAAGGUUGCAUGGUAAACUAUCCGAUUUACAUGAGUGGAGAUUGCGAUGUGAUGCAGACUAGAUUAUAUAGCAUCUCUGACCAAGCGCUGGACUGACCGCUCAGCAAUUUAUGAAAGUUAUUUUGACACAGCAAAAAAAGUCCUCGCUCUUUGCUCACCGGAAACGUUGAUUAUCUUAAGUAAUUAAGAGCGCAUUCUGGAAAUAAACUCCAGAACAGUUGUUUCCGAAAAAGACCAGACAAAAUUUUGGUAAGACCUGGUCACCGCAACUCUUUCUGUUUAAUCUGUUGUUAGUUGAAGUGCCAAAAAAGAGCUUGAGAGAUCGCUAAAACGAUAUUUACAAGUGGGUAUGAUAUGAAACGUACCAGAAGAAGAACCAAAGCUGCUCUUGAAAUUCUAAGGCACAGAUCGUCAUUACCAUCCAAGAUUCCGACAAAGAGUUGGGUUUGUCUGCACCAGUGCAAUUUUAAGAGGAGCAAAGGCAAAGGUUGUCGUAGUCAAACCAAAAUAGGUUCCCUGGGGAACAAACGAUGGGCGUCUGGCCUGGAAAAAGUCAAAAAAAAAAAAAAAAAAAAGGCUUGCUGAAUGCGUAUGAGAAAACAGAGAAAAGAGACUUGGCCAUGGUCAAAGUCUUCAACCACGCUUCAGCCCCUAGAAGGUAAAUAAUAAUAAUCUUCAGUUCUGCAUUACUCAAGUCGACAACAAUUUUUGGGGUGGCCUUUUACUCUGGAUGCGAUUUGGAAAGGAAUACAGCAAAUGGAUAUGAACUCCCCGUUUCCUCGUUUCCAUUCAUUAUUAUAUCAUCCUUCCUAUUUGUAUGUUUAUGAUCAAUCGCACAUCAUUGCAUUCUCAACUAAAUUCUGUGCAGAUAAUUAAGACAACUUGAAAUCUCGGUUGUAGCAUGAGCCUUUAGAUUCUGCUACUUGUAUGGUGAAUUCGGGAGCUGCACGAACCUUUUGGGAACGUCCUAAUUGGUUCCAUUCUCUUCAUCAUUUUGGUGGAUGUGCAAUGUCAACCAAAGCUUCUGGUACCACAUUCUAGAUGGAAGCUGGGAACGAUGGAAUUCUGCUGUCGACGGAAUGAGAAACUCCGCUCUGUCCAAUUUUGUUCUGAUGAGGGAGAGAUUGGAACGCCACCCAGCAACUGAGGAUCAGAUGAAUUCAACUCAUCUAAUAUAAGAUAAGACGAUGCAGUUGCACCCACGGCGAAUGAAGGUUCUUUGGAGCUGUCUUUCUUGCUCAUGGAUCGAUGCUAAAUUGGUGGAAUGUUGGAAUUCAAUAACUGAAUGUAGGAUCAGCCUUCGACUUUCCCUUCCAUUCUAUCCUCAACUCCUUACGCUCAAUUGCUUUGGGGACUUCCCCGCGCACUCGCCUAUGGACAUCCCUGCACUCAUUAAUCCAAUAUCCAGGAAUUUCUCUGCUAACUGCCCUUGAUCCUUGUCACCACUUCGCCGCCACCCUACUCCCUCCCGCAGAAGUUACGCUUCCACUUUCGUUUUCGAGUCGAACUCCAGCAAAACAAUUUCGCAUAGUGGAUUUAGGAACAAAUGACUAUCUUUCUGCCUUCCUCAGUUUUCAAAAGUAGACAGUAUCAUAGGAUUCCACUCGUUUGCUUGGUGGGUGGGUUCCUUUUGUCCCUCAAAUCCGACAUCAAUGACAGGGCAACCAACACAGCAAACUCCUCAAUGUGAACAAAACCCUGCACUCCAAACCCUCUCUCUCUCUCUCUCUCUCUCUCUCUCUCUCUCUCUCUGUGGCCUGAGAGCUUUUCUCUCCCUUUCAUGGGAGCUUUCUUCUCCCGAUCUCGAUCUGGGAGUUUAUUUGCAUCCCGUAUAUUAUUUCUUUCUUUCUUGGCGUGCUGCGGAUGCUCCUCCAUUGAAGGUGGCCGAUUCGACGAAUGAGUGAGAUCCCCCACGUUUUAGAGUUUUCCCCCGCUCACCCUACAAGGAAAACCAAACCCUCUCCUUAAAGACCAGUUACCUGGACCCAUACCAGAUCCCACGCCACGAAUUCCUCCAUCUUUAAAAGGUUUGGGAUCUAACCCUCCUUCCGACAACCGAUUUGAGACGUCCACCUACUUUCUCCGUAUCUUGCUGAGAUAUGUGGAAGAGUGUGCACGCCAGGUGUUUGGUUGAUUUUCUAGUACAAAGGUAAUUUCAUAGAUCAGCGGUUGGCUCUCUAUUCAGAUACAUAUGGUUUGAUUUCUUGGAGUGCUGUUGGAGAGCUGUGGUUCGUUCGUUGGCGGUGACAGAUGGUUUUUGUUUUUUGGGUCUGAUAGAUAUCUGAGGAGUGACUACCUUUUUAUGUUAAGCGGAAAUAUGGAGGCGGGCCAAAUUAUGCCCCUAUUGUUGCCAUAUAUAUUAUAGCUUGGAAUGAUAGUUGAAGGCCACAUGCCGAUCUUGUGACCUAGAUAUUGUGUUUCUGUCAAAGAUAAAAUGUGAUAUUAGACGGAUAAAGACUCGUAAAAGGAUUGGAUUUAGUUAGUCAUUCUUGAUUCCCACAGAAAAUAUUGCAGGAGGAUUAGUAGUCAUGUGAAAAUAUCUUGUAGUUUUAUCAUUUUUUUUUUUGCAGAUAAAAACUGAAUUAAUAUUGAGGUUUCUAACAUAGAAAAUCCGAAAUAGUUGUGAUGGCUUUCAUUGUUGUACUCACCUCUUUAUUGUGGUCUUAAACGAGUGGCUUGGGAAGAGUUUAAUGAGACUAUUUAUUGUCCUCAGGCAUCCUAUUAAAGGGGCUUGAGCCCAUCUCGUCACUCUUUAGUGGACUUUAUAGGUCUAGUGGGGCGUGUUGAUCUUAGCUUCAGAGGCAAACCUUAUAAUUGGACAAAUGGCCUAGAGGGCUUUGCAAGCAUUCGGAACAGAAUGGCAAUUUGUUCGACACCGUAGUGUAAGAAAUUCCUUAAUUGGGGGUUGUCCACUUGCCGGUGGUAAACAUGGAUCGCCCUCCUAUUUUACUGAAGUCAACUUCUCCUGAGGAUAAUUCGAGACAAUUUUUUAAAUUUGAAGCCGUAUAGCUGCGGGACUCAACUAAUGUUAACGAAGUGGAAAAGGCUUGGAACAACGAUACGGUAAAUAAUUCAAUGACCUCAUGGCAUAGGAAGCUAAAAUCGAGAGAACUCUCAAAAGGUGGAAUAAGGAACAUUUUUGAUAUUUGCCAACGGUGCCUUAAGGAAUUGAUGGUGUCGCUUGAUUCCAUUCAAAAGGAUGAGCCUUCGUAAGAGGAGCAGGAGGACAAAAAGAAAUCAAGGCGGCUACUAAUGAGCAAUGGGAGAGACUACGUUUUAAAUGGCCAAAGUUCUUUAUUUCUUUGAUCUAGUUUGUUCCAGACGAUGUAUAUUCUUCCAUUAAGUUGGACAACCGCCGAUGGGCGAGACUUGCCUGGAUUUGGACCCCCAUAAGUCGGGAUCGUUUCCAUUGUGGAUUAUGGGAGGCUCACUUAAUCGACAAUUCAAAUGGCAUCCGUUCUAUUGGUCGAGACACAGGCGAAACUUUUCCCUUUGAGCAUAGUCCCAGUAAAGACCUCAAGCUUCUUGAUGUGGCAGCCAUUUGUCCCCGUCCGCCAAAUGAAAAUUUUCGCAAACCAUCCGGCUGGCCACGCUAUGUUUCUGAUUUUGGCAAUCCAUACUCUUUUAAGUGGAUCUCCAUAUAUUUAUGUAUUUAAGUCUGACAGAUCUUUCAAUGAGAGCUUGUAUGGUUUUUCUGAAGGGUCGAUCCUUCAAUCAUAAUGCAACCGUAAUCACACUUUUUAUGGUAAUUCUUAUAUGAAGUGUCAUAAAACUUGACAUUUUCAAUCAACGGCUGAGUCCUUUUCUUUUAAAGUUCGACAAAAGAAAAGUACUGAAAAAGUCAUAAACUUAUCGUGUUGAUACCAAUUUUGCAUUAAACAAUGUAAUCCUAAACUUUUUCAUAUUAGUACCAAUUUCAUCCAUCCGGCCAAUUUAGAUUAAAAAUGGCUAACAUGGAUACCAGCCAUUUUACGUGUCAUGGUCGAUGAUGACGUGGGCAAAUUUUAUUAAUAUUUGUGAAUUUUUAAAUAAUUUUUUGAUUUCUUUACGGUGGCCACCGAUAAAAAGUAAGAAAGAAAAGAAGAGGGAAAUAAGAAAAAAUUCACAAAAAUCAAUAAAAAAAUUAUUAAAAUUUAUCCACAUUAGUGUCGACUAUGCCAUAUAGGACGGUCAAUUUUCACAUCAUCGAUUUCCAACUUAAAUUGACCGGGUGGAUCGAAUUAAUAGUAAUAUGAAAACGUUUAUGACUAAAUUAUCUAAUUAAAAAUUUAGAAUUGAAUUAGUAUAAAUGUAAUAGAUUUAAGACUUUUUUAAUACUUUUCCCAUUUGACAGACACCACCUUUGUGAGAAAUGGUGUGUCGACGGAUUAUACAGGAUUAUACAAUUCCCAUUCGUUUAUUUUUUACCCUUUUAUGAGAUAGCAAAAUAAAUCUAUGAAUCGGAAGGGCAGGUCCAGCUUGGCCCAAUAAAGAUUGGGCUAGGCUGUCCAGUUUAUGAAAUCUUACUCAUGUGAGAGCCCAUUCUUAUCCAUGUCGCCGAAUGCUCUCCCCUCUUUUUUUUUUUUUUUUUUUUUUUUUUUUUUUUCAGGUAGAAUUUGCCUAUUUUAUUUAUUUUUGCCAAACUUUUCUUUCUUGGUCAUACUAUUUUUGCCAAACUUGUCAUCUUUGAAACGUGCUAGGGAUUUUACAACAUUUUAACUCGCUCUGUCCUCGCCCAAUGACCACGAAUUCAAGCUUCAACCUUAUUAAUGGAGUAGCUUAGAAGUGCCAACAGUUAGAGCGCAUGAACAUAACUUGUUCCACUUUAAUAUCCUAAAAAAGUCUUCCGUCCGAGGUCGACAAAUGCGUGCAAUCGCUCGAUGCUUCCUCUGGCUCCUGACUGUGACCAAUCUGUCGGAUGUGUUCUUCCACUUGAAUUCUAUCAUGUAUUUCUUAGUCAAUGACUGAAAACAGGAACAAAGAUAAGAUAAUGUAGUUUAAUGGAAUUUGACUGCAUGCGCUUUUGCAGAUCUCUUUUCUUUGGUGACGUGAUGAAGUUUCUAGCUGCAUAUGAACAACUUUGUCAACAUGGUCGAAAUUCGGUCCAAGACCGGAACUUCCCUGGUUGAGCUUCAUGCUAGAAUAAUGACCCUAGAAAGAUGGAAAGAUGGAAACCAUUAGUCUCAAAGUUGAGAAUUUUUAUAUUGGAUCUUGUUGAUGGGUGCGUUUCCGACACUAAUUUAUGGUUCGAAAACUUCGGAAAAUCAAUAUGCAGUGAUCUGACAUGUUGCAAAGCAUUUAAGCGAAGACCUUAAAAGUAACUAGUGUUAACGUUUUCUCUGGAUGGCAAGAUGGUUUCAACAGACUGAAUUCCAUCCAUCACCAGGCUUCGGAUUCUCUGUCCAGCUCAGAUGAGAUGAGCACUGAAGACUGGUGUCACGGUAUUGAUUGAUGCUAUGGACUUCGAAGGGUCGAUAUAGUUGCCUCUACAAUAGAUGAGAUAAGGGGAAAUCCGUUUUUUACUAGUCAAAGAAAUGAACUUUGGUCAACGUAUCAUUGUCAGAUGAACAUCUUACCCGUGAUCCUCCCUCUUAUUUCCGCUAUCGUAAGUCAAAUUCUGACGUUUAAAGUUGAAAACACAUACUUUAGUCCCCAUUGAACAACCAUUCACCAAGUCCACGCUUCUCAUAUUUUUCGCCUUAAACUUCGUUAAUUACGACAAAUGGCAGUCUCUUUAUCCCUCCAGAAACAAAGCUCAAACCUUGAACACCCGCAGGAUGGAUAGCUUGUGUCUUUGGCUUGUGACAGGAAGUUAGGUUCUGCUCUUCUCAGGCUUCACGGUGGCAGUUGACACCAUUGAUGCAUCUCAAUCGUUAAGCGACAGGGAGACAAUAGCUUCGAGUGGGGGAACUUUUGAACUGGGAUUUUUCAGUCCAGGCAGUUCAAGGGGCCGUCACGUGGGAAUUUGGUAGAAGAACAUCCCAGUUAGAACUGUUGUUUGGGUUGCAAAUAGAAGCAAUCCAAUCAAUGACUGUAGUGGCAUGUUGAUGAUAUAACACAGAUGAUAUAGUCCUACGCCACAACAACAGUGUCGUUUGGUCCGUGAACACUGCUGGAUGGGCCGAGAAUCCAGUUUUACAGCUCUUAGAUUAUGGAAAUCUUGUGCUGAGAGAUGACAAGAAUGACAGUUUGGAUACCCAUUUGUGGCAAAGCUUGGACUACCCAACCGACACUUUUUUGCCGGAAAUGAAGCUUGGAUGUGACUUAAAGACCAGUCUCGAUUGGCAGUUAUCUUCCUGGAAGAGCCCAGAUGACCUGUCACCGGGAGAUUUCACUUGGGGGAUGGCCAACAGUAAUUUCCCUGACGUUGUAAAAUGGAAGGGCUCCGACACGUACUUUAGGAGCGGACCAUGGAAUGGCCUUCGUUUCAGCAGCACACUGCAGCAAGGGUCCAAUUCCAUUUUCUGGUAUAAUUUUGUAUCUGAUGGAUACGAAAUUUACUAUAUGUAUCAUGUCACCAACAAAUCUGUGCUUGUGAGGAGCAUCUUUGAUCAAACGAACUACUUGUGGGAGCGGUCCACAGGGAGCAAAGCGACUCAAAGCUGGAGGCUCUUCCUAACAGUUCCUAACAGUUCUGAAGGACUGCUGCGACACCUAUGGCAUUUGCAGUACCCACAGCAAAUGCAUGACUAACCAGCUGCCAUAUUGCCAAUGCUUAAAAGGAUUCACACCUAAAAACCCGGAUGAAUGGAACUCCACUGAUUGGUUGCAAGGAUGUGUUUGGAACGAGCCUCUGAACUGCAGCACCAGCGAUGGAUUCAUGAAAUAUUCUAACAUGAAAUUGCCGGAUACUACUCAUUGUUUAGUGGAUAGUAUCUUGAGCCUCGAAGAUUGCAGGACCAAAUGCUUGAACAACUGUUCAUGUGCAGCAUAUGCAAACUCAGAUAUCAGAGGACGAGGAAGCAGAUGUGCAAUGUGGUUCGGUGAUCUGAUAGGUAUGAGACAGUAUCCAGAUGAUGGACAGUUUCUGUAUGUGCGAAUGCCAGCUUCUGAAAUAGGUACUAUCUUGUUUUGGCAUCUCUGAAAAAGGUAGGUCUUGCACUAGAUUUCCUUUUCACCUAUCAUUCUUUUUCCUUUCAAAUGUGAGCACAAACCUUUCCAUAGUUACCCAUUAUAUCUGGCAUUUAUAUGUUUUUAAUGCUGACUUUUCAAUUGAGCAGGGAAGAGUAAGUCCAAGGUGUGGAUAGCUCUGGUAGUUGUAUUAGCAAUUGCCAUAGCUAUUGCCAUGCUAGUCGCCAUCUGUUACGCCCGCAGAAGAAGGAAAAACUUCGGCAGUACAUAUUUCCUUUCAUGACUUUCCUCACAAUACUAUGUUUUCAUGCAAAAGAGAAUAUUUGUGGUCUAAGAAAAGAGAGAGAAUAUCGAAAAUUAUUACUCUUGAUUUGAUAACUGAAAAUUUGGCAUAGUCAGAGAGUUGCAUAGUCAGAAAAUUAUUAGAAGUGGGACUUACUACACAUGCUUCCCUGCCUUCUUUUUGCUUGAGCUAAGUACCUCCGAUUUUCCACAUCAGAGAUAGCAGAAGAUAUAUCUGAAGGUCAAGAGAGUAAACACCCUGAUGAUGACUUGGAGCUCCCAUUAUUCGACCUACACUCAAUUGUUGAGUCCACAAAUAAUUUUUCGAUGAGGAACAACCUAGGUGAAGGCGGUUUUGGACCUGCAAGAUAAAACAAAAUUUGGAGUGGACUAUCCGAAACAUAGCACAAAGAUCCGGCCAUCAGAAUUGAAUCUUCCCAUUGUUGUUUUUAUCCAGGGUAUACUUUUAGAUGGAGAGAAAUCGCUGGGAAGAGACUCUCAAGGAGCUCUAGGCAAGGACUGAGGGAGUUCAAGAAUGAGGUCCUACUAAUUGCAAAUCUUCAGCACCGAAAUCUUGUAAAGCUUCUUGGUUGUUGCAUUCAGGGAGACGAAAAGAUGCUGAUCUACGAAUUCAUGCCCAACAAAAGCUUGGAUGCCUUUAUUUUUGGUAACCUAGUUGAUGUAUUUCUAGUUAAUUUUAAAAUGUAGCCAUUGCCUGUAAAGAAAAAAAUAUCACGAGACAUGGGACUGACUUGACUAAAACCUGACGGAUAAAGAGAAAAGUAAGUUAUUGGAUUGGCACAAGCGGUUCAAUGUCCUCUGCGGUGUUGCUAGGGGCCUACUCUAUCUCCAUCAGGUUGAGGAUAAUCCACCAGGACCUCAAAGCGAGUAAUGUCCUACUUGACAACGAGAUGAAUCCAAAAAUUUCAGAUUUGGGAGGCUAGGAUAUUUGGAGGGGAUGAGAUGGAAGGAAAUACCAACAGAGUGGUUGGGACAUAGUAAGUAUCUUACAGUUAUCUUACAGUAUGGUCUGCAUAGAGUGAAAAAGGGUGGUUCUGAUUCCAUUUUAAUGCAUGUUGUAAUAUUUUCUUUUGUUCUUCAGUGACUACAUGGCACCUGAAUAUGCUAUUGAUGGGCUAUUUUCAGCAAAAUCGGAUGUGUUUAGCUUCGGUAUUUUGGUCCUCAAAACUGUGUUUGGAAAAAGGAACAGGGGAUUAUAUCAUUCGAAUCAGUCUAGUCGGCCAUGUGAGUAAUUUGUUUUAUAUAAUUUUUUGUAAUCUUAAGUAGCUUUAUGGUCCAAUGAAGUUCGUGCAAUUUUUCAUUUUGUAGGCAUGGAAGUUGUCCGAAGCUGGCAAGUCUUCCGAACUGAUCGAUUCAUGCUUGGUGGACAACAUCCAAUAUAUCUCAAGUGUUACGAUGUGUUCAUAUUGGUCUCCUAUGUCUGCAAGAACAUCCUGAGGAUAGGCCUAGCAUGUCGUCGAUUGUGACAAUGUUGAGCAGUGACAACGCAUUGGCUGUGCCUCAACAACCAGGUUUCCUCGUGGAGAGUAAUCCGCACAGAGGAAAUUCCUCGUCUAGCGUUGGACUCGUCUAUAGUCAAUGAAAUGACUUUUACACUUCUAGAGGCCCGAUGAGAAGACAGGAACUUGCCACAGUUUUGCAUUAUUCUGUACUUGUUUAGUUCAUUAAUAUACAUCAUGGAUUUUUAGAAUUCAUGUUAUCAGUUGAGCCUGUGUAGCUGUAAAUGGUUUGUUAGCAUUGAAUGUCUUAAUAAUCUGUCUUCAUCUCAUGAGCAUAUCUCUAAUCGGCUCGUAUUGUGUUCCCUAGCUGAAACAGACCUCAUUUACAUUGACCUCCUGAUUGUUAACAUCUUGGUGGAGACCCUGGUGAUAGACUCGCCAAUCUCAGAAGCUAAUCUCAGAUCUUCAGGUCGUGGUUGGUACAAAGUAGCUAAAACUCAAACUGAUUAUUCCUUAUUAAGUCUCAAAAGGGGAUAAGAACGCUUCAAGUGCCAAAAGUUGGCACAAAGGGACACUUAAGUGCCAAAAGUUAUGAAAGUGACACUUAAGUGCCACUUUGUAAGAAAAGUGGGACACCUGAGUGCCACCUCCGACGAAGGCAGCCGGAAAUCAUACGUGGCAAUUAAAUAAGAUUAUUUCUCGUCGAGGUGGCUCGCCGGAGAGCUGAGUCAGCUCUAAUUCACCAAAAACGACGUCGUCUCCUCAGGUUGGCCAAAAUGGAGCCCUUAAAUCAACCAAAACGACAUCGUCUCCCCCAUUGCCCCAAAUCUAAAACCCUAAAUCCAGCAAAUUGCCAUUGAAGCGUUGGAGCCCUAAUCCCGAACCCUAACUCGAUUUGCCCCAAAUUCUACGGUUGGAUAUUAAGAAUGGAGAGCAGGACUUUCAGCAGCGACUCAAAUUUCUCUCGCCAAAGCGAAGGAGAAGGCGAGCGUUUCUGUUUUUGUGGGUUACCAAGUCCAAGAAGAACAUCGUGGACGCGAAGGAAUCCUGUGAGAAGAUUCUAUGGAUGUGCCCGAUACAGAGAAGGGUCGAAGUGCAAAUAUUUCGAAUGGGUUGAUGCGAAAUUCUCUCACCGAGCCACAGAGGUGAUAUUGGACCUACUUGAUGGAUGUCAUCAACCUCCAUCUACACCUGUGGACGAUUUGGACGAGGUUGACUCAAUGCAAGCUCAAGCAUCUUCUGCUAACCAUUUGAAGAAUGAAGUUUCAAAGAUGAAUAUUGAACGAAAGUGUUACCGAGCAUUUAUUGUGUUGCUGUUUUUUUGUCUAUCCUAUUUUAUGAUGAAAUGUAAAGUAUUGGAAAAUGAAAAAAAGUUUCUCCGACUGCCAUAGUUGUAAAUGAGGUCAAGGAAAGGGAAUGAAUGAAUGAAUGAGAUGCUGUUUGAAUGAAUGAGAUGCUAUUUGUACUAUAUUUUUGCUUAUUCUCGAAUAUAAAUCGGUGAUGAUGGAAUGUAUAUUGGGUGGAUGUGUUGUGGUGACUUCUUUUCUUCAACUGAAUGUAAACCAGUAGCAAUGAAUCGAAUGGAGUUGGCAUAAGUUGAACAUUCGUAUAUAUAAACCAGCAGCUUCUUUGGUUUGCUGCAAAUCAUCAUUUACAUAGGACAAACAUGAGUGAUUACUCGAGUGCUAUAAGUUGUAUAUAGUGAUCACUUAAGUGCCAGUCGUGAUUAAAAAAAAGUCAUUUAAGUGUCAAGUUAGUAUCAAAAGUGAUCACUUAAGUGCCAUUUGUGAUUAAAAGUGAACACUUAAGUGCCAUUUGUGAUUAAAAGUGAACACUUAAGUGCCGAGUUUUUUAGAAUGUGAUCAGUUAAGUGUCAAUUUUAUUUGUACGUUUCAUCUAUAAACUGCACCAGCCAUCAGCUGCUAUCAGCCACCACGACCGCCCACCACUGGCCACCAUCGGCCUCUAGCCAUCACCACCAGCCACAUCAAGCAUUCCAGGCAUCCACUUGAGCCAUUACUAUGCUGCUGGUAUUCUGCAGUGCAGAAGUUCCUAGUGCCUUACAUCAGCUUGCACCAACACUACCUGGAGCAAGAUGUGUGCAAGAUGUGCAUAUUGCACACUUACAUCUUGCACCAAGUGCAGCACAAACCCCCAACCCCCAACCCCUAUAAUAGACCCACCAGCCUAUCAGUAGGCAUCGGCACCAACAUCUUAGCUACCACACCAGCACGUAGCCACCACCAUAAACCCACCAUUAACAGCCACUGUUGGUGGUGGGUCGUGGGUUUGUUGCAAAAGGGGUUCAUGCAAACUAUACUAGUUACAGCAAAAGGCCCCAACCCAAUCCACAUAGCGGACCCACCACCAUCAAGUUUCACCAACCGCCACCACCAGCCACACAAGCACCCCAGUCACCACCACAGAUCCACCACCAGAAGCAGAAAGCAAUAAGUAAAAGUAAAAACAAAAUACAAAAAAUGAAAAAGGCACCAAAGAUGACAAGCAACAAAAUCAUUUCAUUGAUAUUGAAAUGAAGUCUCACAAAGUCGAUGACAAACUAUUUAAAAGAAAACAUCCACAGUAAAACAAUUGACUCGUCAGCCCCACAAACCAUAUCCCAUCCCAUUUCAUUAAUCAAUAUGCACAAUGCCUCCUGUUCGUGCUCCUUUCACUUGAUUCAUAAUCCUUGUGCUUUUUCUAACUGGACGUGAGGUUUCUUCUUCAACUGUCUCAGGAUGCGUUGAUUCUGAUGGAGGUGCAAUUGUCCUAGGCUGAGCUGAUUGAGAAGGAGCUGGAGCUGCAACUGUCGUAGGCCGAACUGAUUCAGAUGGACCUGUAACUAGGUUUUUCUUACUCUUCUUUCUUGUUGGCGCAACCAAUGUCUUCUUCUUUUUUGUUGGUGCAGCCGUUGAUUCUUGAGUUUGGCCUUGAGAGAUAAGAACCUCUGAACUUCUCCCAGGCUUCAAAAAGAAAACUCAAUUAUUAACAAAAUUUUGCACCAUAAAUUAAAUUAAAUACAGCCUAGUAAGCUUAUAAAACUUACAUUAAGAAUAACUGUUCCAGAACGCUCAUCUGUAUAAAGCCCAUAACCAUACUGUUUUAGCCUCUUUCCAAGAGCUCCUCUUGUUCGAAGGGGAACGUCAGUUUCAGGUACUUGUGAUUGAUUAGCCCUUCUUCUCGCAUGUGAUUUCUUGGGCUCUUAUUGUGGCUGUUUAGCUACAGCAGGGGCUUCUUCUGGGCAUUCGAAUGUUAGACGUCUUGUAGAUGGCCUUCUUGUAGGUGGCUCAUGAUUUGGCUUUCUUUUGGUUGUUUUUCUAUUUAGCCCUUCAGCUUCAAUGACACCUUCUGUUGGCUUUUGUGGUGGCCCUUGUGAUGACCCUUUUAGUGGCCUUUGUGGUGACCUUGGUGAUGGAUCUUGUGGUGACCUUUCAGUUGGGCCCUUUGUUGACAGCUGAGCUCUAGCUUGCCUUCUUCGAACCUGAGAAAAAGACAAAUGAUAUCAUAAAUAUAAACAUCAGGCCAUUGUAAAGGAAAACUAAACACAAAUUAUUUAAGUUACCGGGUAUUUUUUUCUCUGCUUCUGCUGAAGAACAGUCGACUUAACUGGCCCUCCAGUUGCUUCGGCCAAUCCUUGAGCUGGCUGUCUACCUGGCCUUGUUUGAACAGACCCUUCAGUUUCAGGUAUAGCAGGGGCUUCGACCAAUUAUUCACGUGUCAUUCUCCUGACCUGACAAAGACAAAAACAUUAUGUCAAUUAGUUGUACAUAUCNNNNNNNNNNNNNNNNNNNNNNNNNNNNNNNNNNNNNNNNNNNNNNNNNNNNNNNNNNNNNNNNNNNNNNNNNNNNNNNNNNNNNNNNNNNNNNNNNNNNNNNNNNNNNNNNNNNNNNNNNNNNNNNNNNNNNNNNNNNNNNNNNNNNNNNNNNNNNNNNNNNNNNNNNNNNNNNNNNNNNNNNNNNNNNNNNNNNNNNNNNNNNNNNNNNNNNNNNNNNNNNNNNNNNNNNNNNNNNNNNNNNNNNNNNNNNNNNNNNNNNNNNNNNNNNNNNNNUCGUUUUCGCUUUGGUCUUCCCAUUCUCUUCUUUAAUGGCAAAGGUUGAGGUGCUUCAUGAUCUGUUGGCUCCCAGAACUUGGCACCUCUGAUUGGCUGCAACAUGCAUUGGUACGAAGCAAGAUAUCUCGGUUUCUUGUACCAAUCAUCAAGGUAGUCUUCUGUGUUGUGGCCCUUCAAUUGAAUGGCACAUAUGGCAUGUGCACAAGGAAUUCCACUUACUUGCCAUGCUCCACAUGAACACUUCCUCGUACCUAAAUGGACAACAUACUUAUCAGAGCCCUUCAUUAUCUCAUAUCCUUCAUCCCCAUUCCAAAUGGGAUGACAAUACCUACUCGUAGCCAAGUUCUCAUCCAAUUUUUUAGCAAUCCUAGGACCACAUUGCCUAGUCCAGUUUGCAGCCUCAUCCCUUUGUUUGUGCAACCGAGUCAUAACCAUAACCCUUAUGUCUUCAAGCAUCAAGAUAAUUGGUUUGCAUCUGGCAUCUAUUAUUCUUCCAUUGAAUGAUUCGCAGAUGUUGUUAUUUAUGUUAUUGCACUUGAAUUCCUCACUGAAGAACGCCCUACACCAAUACUUUGGUUCUGUUUGGAAUAGUGCAUCAUAACAUUCCCUUGUCAAUUGAAGCAGUUCUUCUUUGGCCAUCCUAAAAUCAGCCAUAUUCGUGCUCUUUGCUAGCUGCCAAAAUUUGAACUGCAGCUUAUCCCCUUUAUAGUUCUUUCCCCAAUUUGCAUAUAUGUGCCGCGCACACAUUCGAUGCUCGGCAUAAGGCAACAACUCAGCUAUAGCUGGAACCAGUCCCUGCAAUAAUUCAAAAAAAGAAAAGAAAUGUAAGCAAACGACAUGUUCAUAUCAACAAGCAAACAAUUGACCAAAUCUUUCAAAGAGUACCUUCUGUUGGUCACUCAUGAACGCCCACCCUGCACCAUUUGUUAUCUCCAAAUCAGCCAUCAAAUUUUUUAGGAACCAGGACCAAUUGUCCUUGUUCUCUACCUUUACAACAGCCCAAGCCAGUGGAAACAUCUGGUUGUUUGCAUCUAUUCCAAUUGCAGCCAACAAUUCUCCCUUGCACAAGCCCUUCAAAAAACACCCGUCCAAUCCUAUAAUCCGUCUACAACCAGAUAAAAAUCCUCGUUUGCAUGCAUCGAAGCAAACAUAGAACUUAUCAAACUUGGUCCCAAUAUCAGGAAGUGGUUGAGAUAGCUAGUGUAAGCACCUAGAGGGGGGUGAAUAGGUGCACAAACAAUUUAUCGAGAUACGUAAGCGAUUCUUGGCAAAUGAUAGAAAUGAAGUUUACUAUGAUUAACGAAAAUGAAGUACGAUCAAAGUAAAGAGAGUAAGGAAGAGAAAAUUGAACACAUGGUUUAUAGUGGUUCGGCUUAUUCCAAGCCUACGUCCACUCUUCCGCACUGACAGCCCACCGGCUGGAUUUCACUAUGAUCAAAAGAGAAGUUACAGCACAGCUUUGCCUUGAUUCCACAGUGUAGAUGUUCUACCACACCUCCUCAAGGUUUCUCACAAAUAUAGACUCUCUUUUGUAUACAAGUAUUCGCUCAAAGUGAUUGUCUAAACAAAAAGGAGCUUCAGACUUUGGAAUUCUUCUAUCGCGCACACCUUGAACAACUAAGACCGUCUUCCUUAUAUACUCCUUUAUGCCAUCAUACCCGUUGGCACUUACCAAAGGAAUUCCUCUAAUCUACCCAUUGGACGGAAUCAAUUAGGAAGAUUGUUCGAGCUAUUAAAGGAACGUGUCGAUAGCCCAUUAAUCCUGUUCGCCCAUACAAUCAGGAUCUCGGUUUCCAUAAGUAGAACCUUCCAAGAAUAUUUAGGCAAUCAUCGAAUCUUCAAUCAUCGAAUCAAUCUCGAUCAAUCAAAGGAUUUUGUUACGUCUUUUCCAGCCACGAGAUCUUCUCCAGUUGAUAAGGUUAAAUCCUUGACGAAACAUCCAGUUCUGGAUAACCUUUCUUCAACGGAUUAGAGAUUGUCAAUGAGGAUAGACUUUGAGUCUUGAGUCUGGCUGUCCGGAGGUCUUCAGACUUUAAAUAGCAGAGUCUGCAAGCCUUCAGACUAGACUGAUGGAAACGUUUUGUCAGCUUCAAAACACUUCAAGAAGAUUUCUCCAACAAUCUCCCCCUUUUUGAUGGUGAUAAAACUUUCCUGCAGAUUUGGAUAACUUUGACCUGCAAAACAUUUAUCAAACACAUAUGCAUAUCUUAUAGAGAUAAAUGGCUAAAUGAAUAACAAUAGAAUCUGCAACCACAGAAAAUAGGUUAGCAGAAAAUAGGUUAGAUUAGUAUACGAUAAAGCCAUCCAUAAGAUAUCAAUAGUAGUUAAUAAAAGCAGUCAAGUCCAAGUCUAGUUCAGUUCUCAUCCAGACACAAAGUCAAAGUCAAACAAAACAAUCCAACAAACAGUCCACACGAUUAAAAGUUUAACGAUUGAAUGUUUGAAAGUUUGAUCAAAUCUUGCAUCUCUCCCCCUUUUUGUCAGCAUUAAAAAGGUUGAGAUGAAGUCAAGAUUGCUUGGGAAUGCGGACAAGCUGGAAAUCUUCCAUAGACUGAACGAUGCCUUCCAGCCUUUUCAAGUCUUCCUUCAGUUGUGCAAUCUCCUCACCCUUGGCAUUGGCCUGAAUCUGAACAGAGAGGGCUUGGAUCUUAUCAUUCAAUGAACAUGAAGAAACUUGACCCGCAUUCUGCAAGUUUUGAACCUCGCAUCCCAAGGCAUAAAUUUGACCUCGCAUCUCCAAGAGAAUAUCUAUGAUUCUGUGAAAAUCUGCUGUAUUAUCAAUCUGAGUACUUGCUUCGGCCCGAUCUGAUGGAGUAAAUGCAGAUGAUGGUAGAUCAGCAUAAUCUCGCAGGUUUGGCGAUGAAACUUCAUGACCUUCUUCUGGAAACUGAGAGGCAUAAACAUCUUCUGGGUUUGCAGGUGAGCGACUGACUCCUUCACUUGCAUCAGGAUAUGAAGACUUCCCUCCUUUCUCUUGAUCUCCCCCUGUUUUCAUGCCUACAGGUGGAGAAGAGAGUUCCUCAGGUUCUCCUUCUUCUCUUCUUUCUUCUUCAGGUCUUUCCUCCUCUGCUUCUUUUUCAGCUUCUCUUUCUUCUUCUUCCUUCUCCUCUGCAUCCUUCUCCUCUGCUUCUUUUGUCAUUUGUUCCGAUUCUUUCUGUGGAACAGGACGACUUAAAUUCUUCAAAGCCAUUGCAGAGAUGGUGAUGUCUUCCUCAUCAUCUUCAUCCUCAACGAGGAGAGCUCUUCUUCUCUUGGAUGGAGCAACCAUGGGCUCCUUCCCUUUUCUUUUAGCUGCAGAAGAGAUUUGAUGAGUUUUGGCAGGAGUCUUCUCCUUGAAUUUUUCCAACUCCUUUCUCAAUUCCUUCAGACGCAUUUUGGUCACCAUUUUCAGUCCUACCACCAUAUGAUCACAUGGUCGAACACAAAAGAUUUGCGGAGGCUGAAUAUUCAGAUGUCUGAAUAACUUCGUAACAAGGCUUGGGUAAGGGAGUUGACUUCUGUCCUUCAUCAUUGCUCUAUACAUGUGAAACAUAACAGUGUGAGGGAGAGAAAACUUUUUCCCAAAGAGGAUGGCAUACAUCAGCUUUGCCUCUGAACUUGAAACAUCAGUUUUGGAAGUUGAUUUCGGUCGGAGGCAAUUAAUCACAAUCUUGUGAAGUAAGAUAUUGAAUGCACUCAUCCUUAAGUAGGUGAUCUUCUCAUCUGUUCUCCUGUCCUUCACCAGUUCCAGUGUGGCUCGAGCAAUGGAAACUUUAAUUGGCUGAUAUCUUCCUCUUUCAACUCCUAACGCAUCUGCCAGCAUAUUCAUAUCCACAACAUAGUCUUGGUCUUUAACGCUGAAAGAGAAUCUAUUCGCAUCCAAAAAGUUAAGAUUUGAAUAGAAAUAUGCAGUUAAUCCAGCAUAGGCCUCGGUAGUGUCAGAGCAGAACUUUUCAAGUUGAAGAUAAUUGAACUUUUCCCUCAAGUUCACAUUCACAGCAUCCAGAAAAUCAAAAUCCACACUCCUAGGGUUUAUUACCCCACGCUUCAGCAAUUUCGAGUACAGAUCCUUUUGUUCCUUCGAUCUGAACAAAUCUCCCAUUUUUCCUUGAUUUUCAACCGCAAUACCCAUUUUCGGUUGAAAUAGGCUGUACAAAUUGUCAUCAUCAUUCCCAUCUACAGGAUUCGGCCCUCAGUCACGAGGAUCACUUGGGAUAUUCGCAAGGGUUUCCUCAGCCACCCCUUUACGAGCAAUUCCCAAACUUUCCAUUUUUCGCAGAAAGAUAUAUUUGUUAUUAUAUCCUUUGUCUUUAAGAAAAUCAUCAACAUAGUUCAAAGGAGUACGAGUUCCUUUUAAGGCACGAUAUAGCUUGUAAAUAUAAGCGGGCUUUUGAACUCUUACAGGGUCUGCAUCCUCGAUGAUUUCUUCCUGUUGUUGAUGAUCAACGGUUUGAGGACUAGAUGGAGGAGAAUGACGCUGCUGAGAAUGUUGUGGGCUCGGUUGCUGUUCUGGAGACACUUCUUCCUCAGUAAGAUCGAAGUGCGUAGGCCCCUCACUCAUUCGCCGUGGUCCCCUGCUUGCGAUUCUAGAAGACUUUCUUGAAGAUGACAUCUUUCUCAGUUUUUGGAAGAUUCCUUGCUUGACUUUCCCAAGAAAGAUGACAACUUUUUGAAGAUUAAACAAAGAAGACAAACGAGAAUGGAGGAUCGAUGCUUUCUAGGGUUUUUGAGAGUAAAGUGAAGAGGAAUCAACAGUGCACGAUCGGUUAAAAAGAGAGAUAAAUGAAUCGUCACAAAGGAAGGUAAAAAGAUGCCUUUUUGAAAUAACUGUCUUUUUCCGUGAAAAUAGUCAUUUUAAAAAUAACUUCUUUUUGGAAAAUGAAAUGAUGCAAUAAUUACGUCGAUUAAAGAUAGCAAUAAAACACGGUUACCAAUCGUACCUUUUCAAGAUAAGAUUCGAGAGAGAGAGAGAGAAAGACUAACUUACAGUCUGACGGUCGUACCAAGACUAACUUACAGUUAAAGUCUUGUAUGUCUGAGUCUGAAAGUCUUUAGACUUUGAUUUCCUCAUACCUCAAAAUGUUGAGUCUGGAACGGAUGGUUUCGAACUGAUUUUUCUCCAACGGCUUUGUGAAUAUAUCCGCCAGUUGGUUCUUUGAGUCAACAAAUUGAAUUGAAACAUCUCCAUUUUGAACAUGGUCUCUAAGUGAUGUCGAAUCUCUUUAUGCUUCGCUCUUGAGUGUAGAAUUGGAUUUUUGGUGAGAUUGAUAGCGCUGGUGUUGUCGCAAUUAAUCUCCGUGCAUGAGUCUUCAAUUCCAAAGUCUCUUAGCUGUUGUUUCAUCCACAGAAUUUGCGAACAACAACUUCCGAGAGCUACAUACUCUGCUUCUGCUGUAGAGAGAGCUACUGUGCUUUGCUUUCUUGAAAACCAAGACACUGUCCUGCCUCCAAAUAGUUGACAAGUACCCGAGGUGCUCUUUCUAUCGACUUUGCAUCCAGCAAGGUCUGCGUCUGAAUAUCCAAGAAGAGUAAAGUCUCCCCUUUUUGGAUACCAGAGACCAAAGCUUGAAGUUGAUGAGAUAUAUUUGAUAAUACGCUUUGCUGCAUUUAAAUGAGAUUCUUUUGGGUCUGAUUGAAAUCUGGCACAGAUGCAAACACUAAACAAAAUGUUAGGUCUAGAAGCAGUAAGAUAAAGAAGAGAUCCGAUGAUACUCCUGUACAGCUUUUGAUCAACUUUCUUCCCUUCUUCAUCUUAGUCUAUCUUCAAGGAACUUGACAUUGGUAUGUCAGCCUUUUUGCAAUUGUCCAGACCAAACUUUUUGAUAAGAUCAUUUGCAUACUUUUCUUGAUGAAUAAAAGUUCUUUCCUCCAAUUGUUUUAUUUGAAGUCCAAGAAAGAAGGUUAACUCACCCAUCAUGCUCAUUUCAAAUUCUUCCUGCAUAAUCUUAGAAAAUUUCUUGCACAGACUUUCAUUAGAGGAUCCAAAGAUAAUAUCAUCGACAUAUAUUUGAACAAGCAGAAAACUUUUGCUUUCGCUUUUAAUAAAAAGAGUAGUGUCCACUUUACCUUUAACAAAUCCAUUUUGAAUUAAAAACUUACUUAAUCUGUCAUACCAAGCUCGAGGUGCUUGCUUUAAGCCAUAUAAGGCCUUUUUGAGUCUGAAUAUUGAGUCUGGUUUCCUUGGGUCUUCAAACCCUGGUGGUUGUUCCACAUAGACUUCCUCAUGGAUGAAUCCAUUUAGGAAAGCACUUUUGACGUCCAUUUGAAAUAACCUGAAAUUUUUAUGACAAGCAAAUGCAAGUAAUAAACGAAUUGCUUCUAACCUUGCUACCGGUGCAUAAGUCUCGUCAUAGUCGAUCCCUUCUUCUUGUGUGUAUCAUUUGGCCACGAGUCUUACUUUGUUUCUUACGACUUUACCUUUCUCGUCCAUCUUGUUUCUGAAAACCCAUUUAGCUCCAAUAAUUGAUUUUCCUUUCGGUUUUGGAGUUAAUUCCUAGACAUCAUUAAUUUUGAAUUGUCUGAGUUCUUCUUGCAUAGCUUCAAUCCAGCUUUCAUCGGAUAAAGCUUCUUCUAUGCUCUUGGGUUCUAUUUUAGAAAUAAGAGCCACGGCACUAGACUCUUUUCGCAUUUUGGAUCUUGUGCGUAUUCCUUCAUUGAUGUCGCCAAUAAUAAGAUCUUUGGGAUGACUGGACUUAUGUUUCCAGUUGCUGAUUAAUUGAUGAUCACUUCCUUCACUUGAAUCUUCAACAGUUACUUGUUGCUGAUCCUUCAAAAUCUGAGCUGCUUCUUGAUAUUUAGACUUUGUUGAGUCUGGAGCAGAUUCAGUCUCUUCAAGAUGAGUCUGAAUGGAUUCAUUUUGAAUGGAAUCUUGGAAUUUGACAUUCAUUGAUUCUUCCACAGUUUGAGUCUUCUUGUUGUAGACUCUGUACGCUUUACUUGUAGUUGAAUAUCCAAGGAAGAUGCCUUCAUCUGACUUUUCUUCAAACUUACCAACUCGAUCAUUUGCAUUUUUCAAUAUGAAACAUUUGCAUCCGAAAACAUGAAAAUAUGAAACAAUUGGCUUCUUUUCUUUAAAUAGUUCAUAAGGGGUUUUUUCUAGAAUAGGCUUUAGAAAGACUCUAUUGAUAAUAUAACAUGAUGCUGAAACUGCUUCAGCCCAAAAUCGUAAAGAGAUAUUGCUUUCAUUUAAAAGAGUUCUAGCCAUUUCUUGAAGAGAUCUAUUCUUCCUUUCCACGACUCCGUUUUGCUCUGGAGUAUAUGGAGAGGAGAACAAAUGUUGAAAACCAGAUUCAUCACAAAAUUUUGCAAAGUCUUGAUUUUCAAAUUCACCUCCAUGGUCUGUUUUUAUACUUGAAAUGACAUACCCUUUUUCAUUUUGAACCUUCUUAGCAAAUUUUUCAAAGUAAGAGAAAGUUUCAGACUUACUUGCCAAGAAAUAUACCCAAGUAAAUCGUGAGUAGUCAUCCACAAUUACUAGGCAAUAUUUCUUACUUCCAAUGCUCUGCGUUCUUGUUGGUUCGAAGAGAUCCAUAUGCAAGAGCUGCAGUACACGGUUAGUGGAAACUUGAUUUAUUGGUUUAAAGGAAUUUCUUACCUGUUUUCCCAAUAUACAUGGUGUACAUAGAUCGGACUUUUGAUAUGAUAAAUUGGGUAGACCACGAACAAGCUUCUUUGCUGAGAUUUUGGCUAUUUGCUUCAUGUUGAUAUGCCCAAGCUUUUUGUGCCAUAAGUUCGCUUCGUCUUGGAUUGAGAUUAGACAUUGCGAUUCAUCUGGUUUCACGUCCAAGAGGUAGAUAUUCCCAUGUCUUCGACCCAUGAAUGACUGAGUAGAGUCUUUACUGGUUCCUGAACAAAUACCUUCUUGAAAGUUGAUUCUAAAACCGGCAUCACAAAGCUGACUGAUACUGAGCAGAUUGUAAUUGAGCCAUUCAACUAAAGAAACAUUGCUUAUUGUGAGGUUCCCAAUCUUUACAGUUCCAACUCCCACUAUUUUUCCUUUGCUGUUUCCUCCAAAUGAGACUUUUCCACCAUUCACUUGAAUGAGCUUUAUGAAGUAAUUUGAAUCUCCUAUCAUGUGUCUGAGCAUCCACUAUCCAGAUACCAUUUCACUUUUUUCUUGAUAGUGAUCUGCAUUCAAAAAGAAACUCAAGCUUUCUUUGGUACCCAUAUUUUCUUGGGUCCUUUUGAGUUAGUCUGAUAUACAGUUUUUGCCCAGACUUUAUUGACAGGUCUCCAAACCAUAGGACAUUCUUUCUCAAAAUGAUCUGCACUAUUGCAUUUUGAACAUCUAAGAGCAUUGCGAUCUACUGGUUUUACAAAGUUCAUUUCAAAAUGAUUUUUGUAAGCGUUUCUUGUGGGUCUUUGUUUGAUUCUUUCUUUUACUUUAGGAAAAUCGAUUAAAGGAAUGGUUUCAGCAGUCAUUCCCAAUCCAGAUUUAUUGAAAUAAGGUCUUUGAGCAGAAAGUAUUUUCUCCAGUUUUUCAGAACCUAAAGAAAAUCUUUUGGAAAUAUUUGAAAUAUCAUUUUUCAAGAAUGCAUUUUCUUUUAAAAGAUUAUUUUCACUUUCUUUGAGAGAAGAAACAUUCUGGUCUAAGCAUUUCACUUUUUCCUCCAAAGCAUUCUCUUGUUGUUUUAAAGCAGAAUUUUCUUUUUUGAGUUCGGAAAUUCUUUUAAGAGAAGUCUUAAGACUAAAACAUAAUUCAUCAAUGUAUUUUGAAACUUUAAUAGGGAUUUUAAAGUUACUUACCUCGAAUUCACUUUCUGAAUCUGAAUCAGUCUCGGAGUUUGAUUCUGAAUCCGAUUGUGCCAUUAGACAUAUGUUGGCAUAAUCAUCAUCACUAUCUUCGCACUCUGUAUCACUCCAGGUUUCAGCUUUGACAGCUUUUCGAUAUCUUUCAGUUUUUCCUUUCUUCUUCCUUAGAAGAGGACAGUUGGGUCUGAUGUGUCCCUUUUUCUUACAUUCAAAGCAGACUACAUCUUUGUUUGAUUCUUCAUCUUCAGCAGACUUGGUCUGUUGCUUUUGAAAACUUUGUUUCUUUGCAUUGAAUCUUCUUCCUUUUCUGUUCAGCUUUCUGAAUCUUCUUAUCAUAAGAGCAUGUUCUUCAUCAUCCACGUCGUCUUCAGAAUCUGUUACAUCAGAAUCAUCAUUAGAUUUUAAUGCAAUAGAUUUCUUACCUUUAGGGUCUUCGUCUUCAUUGAUUUGUUCCACUUCAUAGGAUUGAAGAGUCCCAACCAACUUAUCGACAGACAGUGGCAUGAUUCUUUGGGUCUCCCUGAUUGAGGUCUUUAUGUGAUUCCAAUCCUUGGAGAGUCCACGCAGUAACUUGUUUACUUUCAUGGGAUCAGAAAUUGGUUGGCCUUGAUUUUCAAGACCAUUCACGAUAUCUGUAAAAUGACUAAACAUGUCAGUUAUAGAUUCUCCUGGUUUCAUUCUGAAGGCUUCGUAUUGACCGAGAAGAAUGUUGAUUCUUGUCACUUUCACUCGAUCGGUUCCUUCAUAAGUAAUGUGUAAUCUAUCCCAGACUUCUUUGGCUGUAUCACAAGAAGAUAUUCUGUUAUAUUCAGUAGGUGAUAAAGCACAAUAUAAAGAAUAAAUUGCUUUUGCAUCAAGAGCUUGUCUCUUGAUUAUCUCUUCCUGAGUCAUUUCGCUAGACUCAACAGAGUCUUUUCCUCUUUCUGAGACAGGAGCAGCUUUGGGAACGAUUCAUUUUUCUACAACGUCCCAUUCCAGAGGAUCCUUUGAUCUUAAGAACGCCUUCAUCUUGUUUUUCCAUAUGUUGUAGUCCUUUCCAUCAAAAUAAGGUGGUCUGGUGUUGCUUUGCCUUCUACCAGCCCUGGAGCCAACAUACUAGCCAUGGAUCUUUAACUCUGAAGUAAAAUACUUCAAAAAAAGUGAGUACACGAGCUCUGAUACCAAUUGAGAUAGCUAGUAUAAGCACCUAGAGGGGGGUGAAUAGGUGCACAAACAAUUUAUCGAGAUANNNNNNNNNNNNNNNNNNNNNNNNNNNNNNNNNNNNNNNNNNNNNNNNNNNNNNNNNNNNNNNNNNNNNNNNNNNNNNNNNNNNNNNNNNNNNNNNNNNNNNNNNNNNNNNNNNNNNNNNNNNNNNNNNNNNNNNNNNNNNNNNNNNNNNNNNNNNNNNNNNNNNNNNNNNNNNNNNNNNNNNNNNNNNNNNNNNNNNNNNNNNNNNNNNNNNNNNNNNNNNNNNNNNNNNNNNNNNNNNNNNNNNNNNNNGGUUUCUCACAAAUAUACUCUCUUUUGUAUACAAGUAUUCGCUCAAAGUGAUUAUCUAAACAAAAAGGAGAUUCAGACUUUGGAAUUCUUCUAUCGCGCACACCUUGAACAACUAAGACUGUCUUCCUUAUAUACUCCUUUAUGCCAUCAUACCCGUUGGCACUUACCAAAGGAAUUCCUCCAAUCUACCCGUUGGACGGAAUCAAUUAGGAAGAUUGUUCGAGCUAUUAAAGAAACGUGUCGAUAGCCCAUCAAUCCUGUUCACCCAUACAAUCAAGAUCUCGGUUUCCAUAAGUAGAACCUUCCAAGAAUAUUUAGGCAAUCAUCGAAUCUUCAAUCAUCGAAUCAAUCUCGAUCAAUCAAAGGAUUCCAUUACGUCUUUUCCAGCCACGAGAUCUUCUCCAGUUGAUAAGGUUAAAUCCUUGACGAAACAUCCAGUUCUGAAUAACCUUUCUUCAACGGAUUAGAGACUGUCAAUGAGGAUAGACUUUGAGUCUUGAGUCUGGCUGUCCGGAGGUCUUCAGACUUUAAAUAGCAGAGCCUGCAAGCCUUCAAACUAGACUGAUGGAAACGUUUUGUCAGCUUCAAAACACUUCAAGAAGAUUUCUCCAACAGUGGUCUCUCCACAACCUCUACAUACACUCUACUUGAAGGAUUUUGCAGCCUACACUCCCAAGCAUAAUCCCACACCUGUCCAUAUUCGCUGCUGUAUUGAUCAAUGAGUAUCUUCAUCACCUUUUGCUUCGUUCUUUUGCAUUGAUUCUUGCUUAUAUUGAUGCCAACCUGCUCCUUCACCAGCAACCUGAACUGAGUACUAUUCAUCUGAGGCAUCAUCUUAAUCAUAUUAAAGAAGUGCUUGCACAACCAUGCACUUGUUACCCUUUUAUUUUCAAAAUUAAUGGAACAAGUAUGUUCCUCUUCGUACGCUCUAAUCUGGAAAGAUCCACUUCUCCUAACAAAUGCACCAUAGAUCCUCCAUGGACAAUUUUGCUGCGAACACUUAGCUCUUACAAAGGCCUUAGUGUUUCUAAUGAAGUCAAUGUUCCUCUGUGCAGCAAUGGAGUUCUUCAGUAUAGCUUCCCUAAAUUGUUUUGCAUCUUGAAAUUUCAUACCUACCGACAAAGUAGGAGAGGCAACGGAUGGAUCAUAAGAAGGAAACUUACUUUUCCUUCUCCUUGUAUGCACAACUCCUUCAUCUUCUUCAAGCUCAUCCUGGGAAGUAACAUUCUCAAGGCUUUCUUCAUAAUCAGUCUCCUCACCAAUGGCAACAGCAUCUACAGAGCCUUCGGCUUUAUUUGGAACUUCAUCAGCUACCUGCAAAGCUGCAAAUUUAUCUGUCAAAAAAUCCCUUUGCCUUUUUCUUGACUGUACAAGCUCCUCGUCGUCGUUAUCACUUGUGAAAUUUGCAGUAGGCAACCCUUCAUCAUCAUCAUCACUUGAUUCAGCUACUUCCCAAUCUAAUCCAGUGAUUGUGACAUCACCUAUGUCAUCAUCACUAUGGUGAACUGCAUCUGCGCUCCUCUCCUCUCCAUCAUGUCUAUCCUGCCUUUCUUCGACCCUAACCUCAGUACUACCUUGAAUACCAUUUCCUUCUUGUUCUAUUUGGGCACUUUCUUCAUCAUCAUCUUUAUCCUCACUUUCAUUGUACUCAACAUAUAUUUUUACCUCUUCACCAUGAAGAUAAUGGUAUAGAAUAUCCCUAAAGCCGUUAUCGUUUUCUAAGGUUCGCAAACCAUCUCUUAAACCUUUCCCAGGAAUACAAUACAACAACUUCUAAACUUUACAAGGCAAAUAAGUUAGUAUAUCCCUAACAAAUCCUAUAUAAGAUGCCUUCUUAAUGUCGACAAAAAUGGUGCCCUCAUUUCCACCCUCAUACUCCCACUCAUCCUCCCCAAUUACAAAUUCCCCAGCAUAGCAAACUAUGACAGCGACAUAAUCCUUGGCAUGAGCCAUUUCUGCACCAACAACAAGACAAAGAAUAAUUAGUUUUGGGACCACAUCCACAAAGAACAAUAGACAAUCGCACAAGGGAGUCCCCCCACUCUCAUAGACUUUAUUAAACAGGUCCCCACACUGACAAUAUGCCCAUAUAUGACAGCCAAAAAAGAGGUCGACACUUUAAUAAUUUACCUUCCCUUCCUCUACAAUAUUAAUAAAAAACAGAGGCCCCCACACUGAGAAUAUGCCCCUUCAUGACAGCUAAGAGGUCGCCACUUUAAUUAUUUUGCCUUGCCUUCCAUUCCCUUAAAAUAUAAACCAAAAACAGAGGUCCCCACAACAAGCAUAGGUCCCCACAUUUGCUGAACUAAACCUGCGAUGUGAGAAUGUACAUCCACUUAAUCAAAUCUAUUUUUCCUGUGAAACACAUAGAAUUUCAUUAAAGCAAGCUUGAUGUAAAAUUAUAGGGUAAAAGUUCUGUUUCUCAUCCAGCCAAGAGGAGAAAUCAUACCCCUAAUCUAUAAUGUUUGGCCAUUAAUAUAUUGUGUCAAGAGGUCAUUACACAAUCCAAGCCCUAAAUUUAUCCAUUGCACAGUAGACUAAUACUACAUGUCAAAAGAGCUCAUAGUUUAUAAACUUUAAAAUGAGGUACUUACAUGUGGUUUCAAAUUUGUCCCUUGCAGGUAAAUGAACUUAUAUAAAGUAUCAAAACAAAUUUUGCACUCCUCAAUGCCCUGCAUAUAUGUCGACUAUCUGAUUAGAAACAACAAUCAGGAAAGAAGACUAAAAGAACGAAAAGAUCGGAAUCAAAGGAACAAAAGCAGAUUGAUAGCAAAGUUGCGUGCUCUUUGCAGAGCACUUAAAGGCCAUUAUUCCAGCCACCUGAUUCAAUAACUUUUCACUCAAACACAUUAGUUCCUAGUUCCACAUUAGUCAAUAUUUUGUCUCACUCGAGCCUUGACUGCAUAAAUCAUCGACUGAGGCAAGCAUCUCCACACAAGGGAGUAACCAAACAGAGCGCGCACAUUUCAACAGCAUUUCCAUCGUAGCCUUAAUAAAAUAAUCGAGCGAGCCCUAAUAAAAUAAUCGAGCGAGCCCUAAUAAAAUAAUCGAGCCCUAAUUUCAUCACGAGGGAGGGGGAAAAGGGGCCCAACCUAGAGGAGUGACGAUGGUGAGCAGGGAUGACGACCAACGAUGCUGAGUGGCUACGACAACCAACAACGGCGACCGAUGACCACCUAUGGGCGUGAACGGCGACAGAGAGAAGGGCGGCGACGGCGUGAACAGCGAUGGAGAGAAGGGCGGCGACGACUGAGAUCUAAUGUGAACGCAGAUGGGAAGGAACAACGACGGCUAGGUGUGCUUAAGCCAAAAUGACCUAAACGACGUCGUUUAACACCAACGAAAAACGACGUCGUUUAGGUCAGCUCACUCAGUGUGGGUGGACAACGUCGUUUUGUCGUCCACGUGGGUUUUUUUUCUUUAAACGUUUGCCACCUCAGUAAAAGAAGUCGUCGGGAAACGCCACGUAUGCAAUUUGGCCGGAUUUUAGCCGGAUUGGCACUCAAGUGAUCAAUUUUGCUCCGAUUUUGGCACUUAAGUGUACCUUUCGUAACUUUUGGCACUUAAGUGUCCCUUUGUGCCAACUUUUGGCACUCCAGGGGUCCGUGUCCCGUCUCAAAAGGAUCACUAGCUUUGAUUGCCCCUUUUCACCAUUUAUGCCUUCACCUAUAAGUUCCAACCACACCAAUGCAACAAAAUUUAGUGCUUAAGGACUACCAUCACUAGGUUACCUGACUAUCAACUACAAACAGGGAAAUUGCAUGUCUCAGCUGGAAAAUUGCAUCAAUUUAGAAUGUCACCCGAACAAAUGUAUCUUACAUUGAGCAAUAUCAAAGGGAUAUACACAGCAAACAUCCGCAAGGUCAUCACUCUAAAUGAAAACCUUAACUUAUGAUACUCCAGAGAACAUGGCAUGUCCUGUAGGGUCGAGGAGGGCACUCAAGCAACAUUAUAAAGGUGUUCACCAAAGUGUGAGAUAAAUUGAGUGAACUUCAUAUAUAAAAUCGUGGUAUUGAUCUAUGAGCAAUAUAAACUGAGGAAAAGCCAAGGAAGAGUGUCUUAAAGAGGAUGUAAUGCUCCUUGGAACAAAUUCUUCAGCCAUUUCAACACAGAAAUCAGAGAUACUUAAAAGUUCAAACACAGAGGAUAAAAUUUUAACCAAACUUCUUUUUAUACUGCUUAAAAAUGAGCUGCCCUUUACAAGCAUUGAGGGGUUUAUUUCCAGGAGUAUAGACAAUCAGAACCCACGAUCACUUCUUUCUCUUCCUUUUUGUUUGGUCAUUUCUAGUAUGAACAAGAGAAGCAGGAUGAGAGUGAUACACUCAUACUCCACAAAAGGGUCCAGCAGCUUGCAAUGAUAUAUCUGAUAGAGCUUAAUUGCUAACAAAUUCAAAAUUAAUCAACCUGAGGUAGGAAUAGUAAUGGCAAGGAUAAAAACAUCUCAUAACACAAUUUUCAAGAGUAAAUCAAAAUGAUGGGUAAGCCAAACUCCAUGAACACCAGGUGAUCAAUAAACAAGUGGACAAAUUUCAUGUAUCGAAUCCCAUUUUAGGGUAGUCACCAUUCUUCCACUACAAACUGAGGAUUCAAUUGGCUAACAUGUAGCCACAAAAGCACAUUACACAGAAAAUGAGGCAGAUGGUAUACGAAGCAUUAUGUAAAAUGCAGUUCUUGUUACCUAAAAACUUCAAAUUGCAUUUGAUGAAUGCCAAUGUUCAGAGUGGAUAAAUCACAAAAGAACAGAACAAGGGAAGCCACUCUCAAGCAGAGGAACCCUCUUCAAUUUUGGUAUAUUCCAUAUAUAUCCACUGGAUAAAAUUGCAAAUCGUGGUCCCAUCACAUAUGCUCCAGUUCUAGACGAUUCCAUAGAGCCACGUGAGUUAACUUUGGGAAGGAGGAGUGCUCAUGUUGGCUAAUCAAACCUAAUCAAAUUAAAUAGAACGAAUGUAAACAAUCUAAAGACAUUAGAGACUUCUCUGGCCAAUCGAACUUAAUCAAAUAAAACAGAAAGUGAUUUAGUGUGCAAAUAUGCAAUUGGAAAUACGAAGUCCAAGAAAAGUAAGCAUUUAUCUGAAAGACUAAUUUACACUGGUUUAAUUUUGGCUUAAAGUAUAGUGAUUGAUUUAAAAAUCAGAAAGGACUCGACAGUGAAGAUAGAUAGUACUGGAUGAGCUAUAACAGAAAAGGCAAUUAAAAGAAAAGGAAGAAUGGAUUGACAUGCUAUCUAAGCACUCCCAACUAAUAAAGCAUAAGUUAAGAAUUGACCCGAUAUUUUAGCACUUUAAGUGUUAUAAUAAUUUACCUGAAUGCAUAGCCCUUUGAUCUACUUUAUUUGUCAGUGGCCCAUUUGACACGUAUCUAAUUGUUAAAGUAAUGAAACAUUUUUCUUAUUCCAGUUUAAUGAAAUUUAAAAAAAAAAAACAAAUUUUACAUUUCUAGGCUUCAGCAUCUUUCUAACAAGGGUGUCAUAAUCAAUUAUUUUGUAUAUAUGAGAAAUGGAAGACAGAAAAUAUUCCUACACUGAUAGUAACUUUUCUGCAGCCAUUAAUUAUUUGUUAUCUCCUUAUUGUGAUCAUUUUGACCCAAAAAGUGACUGUUUGACGUAUAAGAAUUUGUAUCAGUCUAUCCAAAAUUUUUGUAUUCUUAGAAUGGCUCUUAUAGUAAAGUCGGCGAGAAGACCAUCAUUUAAAUGUACAAAGAGAACCUUGCCCAAAAAAAGGAAAAGCGUGGACUAUUGCCGUUGUUACUCAUUCAAUGUUAAGGGAGUAUUUCUAGUUUCUGAACAACACCGUAACUAUUAAGUUUCAAUAAUCAUAUAACCAUUUUGCUAUACUCUCAAGCUGUAAUAAGUCAUUUAUCAGUGAGUAGUACGGGCAGUUCCUAAGUAGUGAUGUGGUAUACAACUUGGUAUAAAAAUUUUGGGGAAAAAACCGAACUUCUGUACCGCGGGAGAUCAAUCCUUAGAAGGCCCCGUGGGAGAUGGAGAGGAUAACAGAGUAAAAUUUGUAGGUGACUCACCAAGAACAUUCGACCAAGUGUUCUAAUGAAUCACGGGCAAGGGGAUUGUCCCACUCCAGCGACUCCCACGUCUGCUGAUCUAUCUGAAUCUCCCAAAGAGAGGGGGGAGGAGAAGGGAGCCCAUUGUCAAGUAGGGACAGCUGCAGAGGAAUCCUCCUUAGUUUCGGACAAUUGUAUAUAGAAAUCCACCGGAGGGAAUUGCAACCCAUGGUCCCAUCACAUAUGCUCUUCAGUUCCGGAAGAUUCCAUGGACCCAGGUGAAUUAACUUUGGGAAAGAGUGCGUCAUGUUGGCAGUGCCUAUUAUCACCUCUAUGCCCUUGCAGUCUUCGAUUGAUAUCUCUAGGAGGAAAAGGAGGUGAAGCGAUAUGUCUUGCGUCAGCAGCCUCUUCAUGUUGUUGCAUCCGUUUACUUCGAGAUACGUGAGAAAACAAGUGGCACCGCUUGGUAGUGACCCACUAAUUAUCUCCUCUAAUUCAUCACAAUUAUAUACAAUAAUCUCCUCCAGUUUUGAAAAGCAAGUGAUCAUCCACUCCCAUCCCAUCACACUCUUCAAUUUAUGACACCUGGACACUCCCAAUGAUUGCACACUUUCUGGAAUAAGAGCACAGUGAUCACUGCUUGUUCCAUCUAUGCUUGCAAUGAUAUGGUCACAACUAUUGAUGAAUAUACGCCUGUAAGUCUGAGACUCGCAGUGAUACGGUGCAUCCAUCACAAGCUUGUAUUGUUGGGAACUAUUUUGCUCAAGAAACCUCAUGCAUGCAUUGAAUGUUUCCACGUCGGGAACAGAACAAUCAAGUGCUUCCAACUUCUUUAAUUUUGCUACUUCUCCUGCCCUCACCUUUUUAAUCAUAAGGUAUUGCAAAUUCACCAGAUUCCCCAACACUCCUUGUGUUAAUGUCUCGAUCUUUGUGCCAUCUAAGUCAAGGUACCUCAGGUUGACCAACAUCUCCAUUCCCUCCGGCACUUCAUCAAGGCUUGAACACCCUUGGAGGUCCAACUUUCUGAGGUGUCCCAACUUUCCUACAUGAGGAAUAAGUUUUAAUGCCCGACACCUCCGCAGUAGCAGUACUUCCAAUUUGUCCAAGUGACAGACGGACUCCGGCAAUUCCGCGAUUUGGGUGUUGCUGAGAUCUAGAUUCUUCAGCACCUUCAAAUUUCUGAAGAAAGAAGUGUGGAUAUUUCCCAACAUGACAUUGUUAUUUAACAACAACCUGGUAAGUUUAGGGCAAUUUGGCGAUAUGCCGUGUGUAAUUUCUUCUAUUUUGUUGCCUUGUAAAUAGACUCUCUCUAGGCAAUCGGUCCAGAAUACUUCCUCUGGUAUUUCUUUCAACCCCAUAUAGGCCUUAACCAUGUGAGUUGUGCUCGUCACCAUAUGCAAUGCCAUGUACCUUGUCAAUGGGUGUAGAUAUAGACACUCUACCUCUAGAUCAUCCAACAGGCAAGCCUUUCUCAUUUUAUCCAAUAUGGUGUUACCUUGGUCAUGCAGUUCUUGCAAGGUUGCAAGUCCAUCUAACAAACCCUCAUCUAUGAACGACUCUAUCAAAUGCUCUCUACUAGUUUCUAAAAGGUCUUCACCAAAACAAAGUGCUAAAUGCAAGAAACACUAUUGCACUUGAUGAUCACCCAAGUUCAUGUAACUGAGUUUCAGUCCUUUGAACGCCUCAAGUUCUAUCCUUGAGUCUUUGAAUUUUUGCAACAUGCCUUUCCAUUCGUGAACUUUCUCUACUCCCCUCAUGCGAGUCCCUAUAUCAAUGAUCCCAAGUGGCAAACCAUCACACUUGUGCAUGAUAAACUUCGCAAUUUCUUCAAUAUCUGAAGGGAGUUUUCCAGCGAAGCAAAGUACCUUUAAAAAUAACCUCCAAGACUCUUCCCUCUCAAGAGGUUUUAUUUUGAUUUGCUUUUGACAGAGCAUCAUAAAACACACAUCUAGUGAUCGAGUAGAGAGCACCAACUUUACACUGCCCAUUUCAACUGGAAUUCCCACGUCUUUAACUUCGAAAUGCAUCCACAGGCCAUCUAAAAUUAGAACAGAUUUCUUCAUCCUCAGAUGUCCAUACAGUAUGCUUGCCCUCCUCUUCACGUCCUUCUCAUUUGAGAUAUUGUGUAGCCCGACUGCAUUGGCAAUCUCUUCUUGCAGUGCAUAUGUGCUAAAUUCCAAAGGCACAUUGACCCAUAAUACAUCAUCAAAAGCACGAUUCUCCAAGAGUUUAUUAUGGACAUGCGUCAAAAUGGCUGUCUUGCCCACUCCAACCAUUCCAACAACACCAAUGAUGGAAAUGUUCUCCUGCACUAAAUAGGAAUAAAUUUCAUUAAUCUUUCGGUGAGUCCCUCCGCCUACUAAUUCUGUUGUCACUAAGGGAGAUCUUCUGCUGCAUCCUUUAGCAAGUGUCGUUGUCUCUUGGAGGAAUCUUUCUAGAAUUGGAAGAAUCUCUUUAAAUUCUUUGACUGCCUGCCCCAAGCUGCAACAUCCUUUUAAUUUCCUCCACUUUGACUCAUUCAUGUUCUCUACGCCCCUGCUCGUAAGUUCUUCCCGCUUCCUUUUGAUAGAUUUCAUAUUCUCGAUGGCAGGCCCACAAGUACUUGGUUUACUCUGUGUUCUGGCAUCUAACGUCAAUCAUAAAUAAAAAUUCAAUAUGUGCUUUUUCCUAGACAGUUUUUAUAGAAAUGUGACGCUCACAGAUAAAUAAUUCGUUUGUAACAGUGUAUUCAACACUUUCAUAACAAAUGUAUCAUUUACAACCUCCCAUCAAAUAUAUAAGGAAUAAAGGCACUGCUAAUCCCCAAUCCUCUGCAAAAUAUUCAAUCAUGUCCCUGAAUUCUUGAACUAUAUAUUCUGGGACAGUUUCAAAUGCAAAAUAUGCGCAAUCGUGUGGAACAUAAUUUUUUAAAUACUUGACAUUUAUUGUCAUGACUCCGAUGGAGGAACUUGUUCGGUCAACUUAAUAUUUCUGACUAUAGAUCUUUGAGAUGGAACAUAUGGAUGAUUAUAGAUUUCUUAUCAAAACAUGCAUAAGAACCUGGAGAUGCAGAACUGGAGAUUCAUUAGGAUUAACGAUUUGCUAAAGUGAGCAUGAAGAAUAAAUGCAUUACCAGGGAAAGCUCACAAGUGCACGUGCGACAUGCCUCAACCUUGCGCAGAAUUACUAGCCACUUCUAUAGAUAUAUGCAGAAUUGGAGAUUUGCUAGGAUUAAAGAUGUGCUAAAGCGAGCAUAAAGAAUGAAUUACUACGUAAAGCUCGCACGUCGACCUUGUGCGAACUUCAUUAGCCAUUAUAUUAGAUAUGGAUAGAUGUUCGAGUGUGGAUAGUUCCCCAAAACCCCACACAAUUUGACCAACUCGAUAUGUUGAAAGCUUCCAAACUUAGCAACACAUAAUUCGCUGCAACAUCUACAACCCUUUUUCUAUUACGAAGAAAAGUAGAAACCAGAAAGUGGUUAACCAGAUACACGCUAGCGCCCUUCUAUGCAUCCUCCUUUUCACUUUGGAAGUAAUUUUAGUGAUUGAAGUGAUAUCCACAUAGUUGAAAUAUGUUCAAAAUUUUGGUACAUGAGAAUGAAAUUAAACUGGUGCUCUUGUGUGUACUGAUACAAUCGUCCAUCUCCAACAAAGUCGGCCCACUAGCAACUUAUAUACAAGUGCGAGAUUAUCACGUGCUUAGAUAGAGAGCAAUGAAUGGCUUUUCGAGAUUUGAACGUCAGGAUUAAAGGCAUUUGUUCCUUCAUAUUGGAAGGAUCUAUUAAUCAUCAAUGACGGACUUUUAAGUUCCUCUCUUCCUAUUCUAUUCUGUGUCUUCUAUUACAAUUAGAAAUCUAGACGUCCUGCCUUUAUCCUUAUUACCAGGUAAGGAUUGGGACACAGAUUACGGGUCCGAAUGAGCUUUAGAAAAAUGGUAAAAUGGUGAAUUUGAAGAUGCACGUACCAUGUGGAAGAACCCCUAUACUGGAUUCACCUUCAUCUGCAUUCGGUGGGAUUAUUUUAACCAAGGAUACUGGGUCGAAUGAAGAGUGCGUCUCGGUCAUCAUGCGUCCAGCAGGAGUAAAUGGGAACGGCUGAGGCAAUGGACAAACGGCAGUGCUUAUGACACCGGAGCUCACGUAAGGCAUGGCAGCCGUUGCAUCUUCAUUGCUCGCGGUCGCAGGCUGGUGCGGACCCUCCUCAACAUCGCAUCGCCCGUUGCUCGAUUCCACCGCUAUUUUAGCCUUCAACGCUUCUCCGGCUUCUGAUCUAACUCGGUCGUCGCCCAACAGGAACCUAUGAAAGAGGAAGUGGCCCAUCAAUGCCUGCAGUCCCACAGACUGCUUCCCGCAUAAUUUACAGCUCCACCCAUAAUCAUAAUCAGGCAGAGCUCCGGCCCCAACAACCUCCGUGGCGGCUAUCGCCAAUGUCCUGUAUCACGAAGAAGAGUUCGAGUGACUGGAGAACAGGCAAGACGUAUGAAGCAGUUAUCAGAUUUUGCUCCUCAGAUUGGAAACUAACCUUUUGGUGUCUUCAUCAAUGUUUUCUUCCCUUUCCGAAGGCGGUUUCCUCUCUUGUUCUGCUUCUGCAAUCUCUCUGUUCGGAGAUUUCUCAGUCGCCAUGGCCUUGCUGCGUUCCUCCAGGCACCGGUUCCGCCGUUGCCGAAAGAAAAUUCUGCAAGAGGAUGCAAUCUCACUGGCAAAUCCCCCUCGACCGAGCUCCAAAAGAUCUCGCCCUUCGCCCCAACCCAAAUCUCGCCAUUGAAUCCCGCUUUACCGCAAAAUACGAAGCGGUGCGAUACUGCGAGACUCGCCCUGGAUUUUGCCUGCCGCAGACUACGCAAAAUAUAUGAAGAUUAAAAGAACCUUCCUACCCAAAAAACAACAGAGAGGGAGAGAGAUUAAAAUAACCAAAAUAAAUCGAUAGGGAACGUGGCGUUCGGAACGUCACCGUCCCCGAGGUUGUCUCACGGAAACGUGCUAAUGGUAAUGGGGCCAUCCACGCCGUUAGUUUCGAAGAAGCAAAGGAGCAUCGUUGGAUAGAUUACAGCUUAGAAGAAAUUACAGAUUAACAUGGGAAAAAUUUUAUCUGGUAGGAUGUAUCUCAAAUUAUAUAAGAUUUUCAAAGAUUAUUACCUGAUUUAGGAUAGAUUCUUAUUUCUUUUUUAGCAUCGCGAUUACUUAAUUAUCUAGAAUAUUAUUGAUUUUAAUUUAUCUUAGGAGAGAGUUUACUUUCUCAAUCGAAAAAAAAGUUUCAAAUAAAUACGACAAACUCUCUUUCACUAAAGAUGUAUGGAAAUUACUAAUCGUCUCAUGCUUUCUUAAUUUGGAUAAAUUUCAAUUUCUGAGGGAUUGUAUUCAUGAUCUGACGACAUUUGGCCAUCUAUCGGACUCUCUAACGGUGGUCUGUAUCUUGAAUGCCAUCUUCGGUUAUUUGACGGCCCUGUCUCCGGAUUACUGGACCUAUUGCCUCCUCCGCUUCAUUACUGGAUUUAGCACGGGCGGGGUCGGCCUAUGCGCUUUCGUACUGGCCACCGAGCCUAUUGGCCCAAAGAAGCGCGGGGCGGCAGGAAUGUCCACUUUCUACUUCUUCUCAUGCGUCAUAGCUCUUCUCUCCGGCAUCGCUUAUGUGUUUUGCUCAUGGCGGGAGCUCUACAUCGCUUCCUCCAUUCCGUCCAUGCUCUUCCUCGUGGGGGUCCUCCCUUUCAUCUCAGAGUCCCCACGGUGGUAUCUCGUCCGGGGAAAGAUUGAUGAGGCCAUGAAGCUUAUGCGAGCUAUCGCCAAAGCCAACAAGUAACACCUCCCCGAUGGGGUCAUCCUCGCACUUGAUGAGGAAGUGAAUGAAAACUCGAACGAUGGUCCAUCCUGCAAAGAUCAGAUGGACACAAAGGAUGCAAUAACAGGGUCUCUCAUCGAUGUGGUGAAGUCGCCUGUCACUCGGAUUCGCCUUUUCUUGGCGGUGGCAAUCAACUUUCUUUGUUCGGUCGUGUACUACGGCAUUAGCCUAAACGUUGUCAAUCUCCAGACCAACCUUUACCUUAGUGUGUUCCUCAACGGCGUGGCUGAAAUGCCAGCCUUUACAAUAACGGCCCUAUUGCUUGAUAAGUUCGGGAGGAAGCCGCUGGCAAUCGGAACACAGUGGUUCAGUGGAAUAUUCUGUCUUAUAGGGAGCUUGGUGAUGAUACACGGGGAAUGGAAAGUGGCGAGGAUGGUGUGCGGAAUUCUUGGGAUUUUCGGGAUGGCCGGCACGUAUAAUUUGCUCUUCAUCUACAUGGCUGAGCUGUUUCCGACCGUGGUGAGGAAUGCGGCUCUUGGCUGUGGAGCUCAGGCGGCGCAAAUGGGUGCGAUUUUGGCGCCUUUAGUGGUGGUCUUAGGAGGCGGCUUCCCCUUUGCGGUCUUUGCGGUUUGUGCAAUUCUGGGAGGGAUACUAGCAUUUUACCUCCCGGAGACACUGAAUCGGCCUUUGUAUGAUACAAUGGCUGGAAUGGAAGGUGGGGAGAGUGUAUGAAGGAGCUCAAUCCUCUUACUUCAAACUAAACUUGAUUAAUGUAGGCUUAAAUGACUCUUCUUGAUGAUAGGAUUUUCCUUUUUUUCCUUUGGGACAUGAGAGUGCAGGAUGGCAGAAUCUGUCUCUUAUAAAAGGGGAGAACGUUUGUAAAAGUGUAUCUUUCAAAUCACUCAUGUUGCCUUAAGGCAGUUGCCAUCACGUGAUGAGAACACAUUAUGCUGACCUUCGACUCUUAGUGUUGUCAGAUUAAUGCAUUAAACUCCACAUAAUGUUGCUAUCAGCAUCACUGAUCCUACUAUCGAUAUGUUGAAAAGAAAACGUUUGUGUCUGAUCAUUCUGCCUUCGUGCAAGAGCAUCAAACCCACCGGUUCUUUGAAAUAAAAGGCGAGUUCACCGCAAGAUUAGUGCUUAAGGGACUACCCCCACUAGGUGGUACAGUCGACUCUAUCCUGAAUAUGCAGAAAAUUACAUCUCUUAGACGAGGAAAAGAUUCUGCUUUUCAUCUUGUACUUUCGCACAUUUACUAAUCAAGUUAUUUUAGUUUCAUAAUAUUUUAUCGUCUUGGCACCGAAUCUGACCAAACCAAGCUGACGUGGCCGUUGGAUGAUACCAAAGUAUGAGGCGGAUACUUAUGUGGACAUGGGUGGAAAAAUAUAGCCAAUGUAGACGUCGGAGUUGAUGUGGAUAAGACUUUUGCCAUGUAAACGGUCAUGCAGACGUCUACAUUACAGAAAUAUUAUCCCCUCACACUAUGACGUUGUCCGGGGCUGUGUCAGCUGAAUUUGACCAAAUUUGAUGUUGGAGGGACUUAAAUAGAAAAUGUGAAGAUAGACAAAAAAAGAAAAGUAAAUUGAUUUAAAAAAAGAGCGUAAAAGUAUAUGGAUGAAAAGUAGAAAUAUUUUGACGAAGCUGGAUAGAAUCUCGUGAGUUUUGGCAUGAUGGAGGAGGAAAAGGCGGGUCAGUUCAAGAAAAACAAAUGGGACAGUUGGCCAGUGUUCUCCAUACUGAGGAAAUUACAUGCAACUGUGAGAAAUCCAAAGUAGGGUUCAUGCAGAAUCAAAGUGGUGAAGGAACUCAAUUGUGAAGUUCCUUUUUCUCGCGUUUACUCUCUACUUUCUUUGUGAUUGUGUGACGAAUCCUAACAAUCGUGAUGUUAUAGAACUUGGAGUCUCAAAUAGACAAAGGUGCGCAUAUGCGCAUGAAGUAGACAUAUACUCUUUGAGAGCUUCACCUCUCUUCACAUUCUCUUUGUCCUUUCAUUUCCUCGCAAUUUCAAUUCCUGUUUGUUUUCCUUUCCGAUGUACUUCAAUUCCCAUGAAUUUCCCUUUAAAGUAGCUUCAGUUCGAUACAUUUGUCUCUAUUGGCACUUGGUUUCGAGUUGAUUCAUCACUACAUCCAAAUCCCAUUUGCAUAUUUUGUGUUUGAGCAUGAAACUGCGGAGCCAAUCGUCUAAAGUUCGACACAAUCGACUGACUUGUUUUUCGUCGACUGCAAUAAAAGGUGACUCUACAACAAUAUUUAGUGCUUAAGGACUACCAUCACCAGGUGGUACAGCUAACUCCGAAAUGGAUAGGCAAAAAGUUGUAUCUCUUAGCGAACAAGAUGCAUGCAGGGGAAACCAAAAGAUGGAUUUAGAGGACAAAAAUGUUAAAAAACAGAGGAGAUGCAGAUAUGCAGAUAUGCACAAGAGUAGCGUUAAAAACAGAGGAGAACAGAGGAGAUACUGAUAUUCACAAAAACAGAGGAACCGUUUGCAGAACCACACACAUAAAAAAUUGACACCAUAGCCUUUAUAUAGGCUUUACAAAAACAAAUAACCACCACAGCCCACUAACUUCACACGUACAACAACCAAUCCACAUAAUAGAAGUGCUUAAUAGACUAUUAACACAUAAAAAACAAACCAGAAACAUUGACUCGUUCAACAUUCCCUCCCUUAAACUGAUGUUGCAAACAAUCAGUUUAAAGGACCUUCUCUCAAUUUGGAAUAUCCAACAAACGAACACCAAUGAGCUUUCUCAACUUCUGAAACAUGGACAACUUUAGGGGCUUGGUGAAUAUAUCAGCCACUUGAUCUUCACUUCUACAAAAAACUAGGUCAACUACUUCAUCCUUUGUAAGAUCUCUUAAGAAGUGGUACAUCGCAUCUAUAUGCUUGCUCCUCCCAUGUAGAACUGGAUUUUUGGACAGCUUGAUAGCUGAGCUAUUGUCACAAUAGAUUAUAGUUGCUUCUUGCUAUUUGAACUGAAGCUCUCCAAGAAUCUUCCAUAACCAUAUGGCUUGACAGGCGCAUGAAGUUGCAACAACAAAUUCUGCUUCAGUUGUUGAUAAAGUAACAAUUGAUUGUUUCUUUGAAGACCAUGAAACCGCCCCUAAACCAAGCAUGAAUACAUACCCUGAAGUACUUCUUCUAUCAUCAACAUCUCCAGCAUAAUUGCUAUCUGUAAACCCAAACAAAUCUUACUUUUCUCCCUUUUUAUAGAACAGCCCAAAAUUUUUAGCUCCUUGCAAAUAGCGAAAAAUCUUUUUUGCAGCUUGUAAAUGUAACUCUGUUGGGUGCUCCAUAUACCUGCUUAUAAGGCUCACAGCAUGCAUGAUAUCUGGUCUUGUCCCCGUCAAAUACAUCAGGCUUCCAACAAUUUGCUUGUAGAGAGUGCUAUCCACCUUACUUCCAUUAGGAUCUUUCAAGAGCUUCAAUCCAACUUCAAUUGGAGUAGUCACGGGGUUACAAUUAUUCAUUUGAAACCUGUCCAAAAUCUCUUGAACAUACUUCUUUUGAGACAUAAAGAUUCCAGUUGCAGAUUGAAUUACUUCUAUGCCCAGAAAUAAUGCAUCAAUCCAAGAUCAGUCAUCUCAAAUUCAUCCAUCAUAGACUCCUUGAAUUUGUCAAACAUGGCACUAUCACUCCCAGUAAAAAUAAAAUCAUCCACAUAUAAGCAUACAAGAAGCAACUUUCCACCAUCACCAAUUUUAAUAAAGAGUGUAUGCUCAUAUGGACAUUUUCUAAAACCUUUCUUCAAGAAAUAGGCAUCAAUGCGACUAUACCAAGCUCGGGGAGCUUGUUUUAACCCAUAUAGUGCCUUCUUUAAUUUAUAAACUUUAUAUUCACUACCGAGCUUCACAUAACCAGAAGGUUGAUCAACAAAUACCUUUUCUUGAAGAUCACCAUGCAAGAAUGCUGACUUCACAUCCAAUUGGAAGAUAGGCCAUGAAUUUUGUGCUGCUAAUGCAAUUACUAAUCUGAUUGUGUCAAGUCUUGCUACAGGUGCAAAUACUUCUUUGUAAUCCACUCCAAAUUCUUGCUUGUAGCCUUUCGCCACCAAGCGCGCCUUAUACUUAUCAACUUCACCAUUCUUGUUCAAUUUUGUCUUGUACACCCACUUGACUCCGAUUGUUUUGUGUCCUUUUGGAAGAUCUGUUAACUCCCAAGUGUUAUUCCUCUCAAUAGUUGCAAUUUCUUCAUCCAUUGCUAUCCUCCAAUUUUCUUUUUGUACUGCUUCAUCAAAAGUUGUUGGAUCACAAUCUGAAAACAAAGCAAAAUGGAUAAGUGGAUCUUCAUAUUGAUCAACUCAUGUUACUUCAUAAUCACUCAUCCAUGCAGGCCUCCGUCGAACACGAUGAGGCUGAUCUUCAGGUUUCGCAGCUGCUGCUGUACUUUGGACACUGCCUGUGGCGAUUUGGGUUGUUGUGGAUUGCUACACCAGCUCAUUUUCAUCUUCAAAAUUCGUUGGAAUUUGCUUACCAACACCUUGCUCACCCCACGGCCAAGUUUGUUCUUCAUCAAAAAUCACAUCACAGCUGAUAAUGAUUUUCUUGAUCAUAGGAUCAUAAAGUUUAUAGGCUUUUGAUUGAUCACUAAUGCCAAGAAAAACAUAUUUGACUCCCUUGUCAUCUAACUUCUUCCUCUUUUGGUCAGGAAUAUAGGCGUAGGCAAUACACCCCAAAAAUCUUGAAGUGAUCUACUGCAGGUCUUUGGCCGCUCCAUGCUUCUUCCGGUGUCAUAUUUUGAACAGCUAGAGUGAGACUUCUAUUUAAAAUAUGAAUGCUCCAAUUAACUGCUUCUGGCCAGAAAUUUUUUGGAAUUCCACUUCCCCUCAAGAGACUUCGCACCAUAUUCAGAAUGGUACGAUUCUUCCUCUCACAUACGCCAUUUUGCUGUGGUGUAUAGGCUGCUGUAAGUUGUCUCUUGAUGCCAUGCUUUACACAAAAAUCUAUAAACUCAAGUGAGUUGUACUCUCCACCACGAUCCGUGCGAAGGACCUUUAUUUGAUUUCCUCCAUCCUUUUCAACAAGUUCUUUGAAGUUCUUGAAAGCUGCAAAAGCUUCAGAUUUUUCUUGUAAAAAAUACACCCAAAUCUUCCGGCUAAAAUCAUCGAUGAAGGUAAUGAUAUACCGUUUACCUCCAUUGGAAAUUGGAGAUAUUGGUCCGCAAAUAUCUGAAUGAACCAAUGCCAACGGACUUUUUGCUCUCCACGAUUUUCUUUGUGGAAAUUGAGCACGAUGUUGCUUGCUAACAACACAAUCUUCACAAAUUUCCAAGGAGUAGAGAUUUGAGGAAGACCCUCCACCAUCUCUUUUUUAUAUAGUGUUCGCAACCCACCGAAAUUAAGAUGCCCAUAGCGAAAAUGUCAUAACCAAGCUUCCUCCUUCAAUCUUGCAGAGAAACAUGAAUUUGUAGUGUUGUGGAGAUACAGUGGAAACAUCCGAUUGCCUGUCAUUUUGACUUCGGCAAUUAAACCCAACUUCUCAUCUUGGAUUCUGCAAAUCCCACCUUUAAUAGAGAUUUCAUAUCCCUUCUCUUGCAGCUGACCAUCACUUAACAGAUUAGUCUUCAAUUCAGGGGCAUACAAUACAUUUGAGAUAGUUUGUACCGAAGUCCCUUUUGGAUGAAUUGCCACUGUUCCUUUCCCCAUCACUGACACAAUGGAAUUAUCACCAAACUUUACGAUGUUGUUGUACGUUUCGUCUAGAUCAAAAAAACAUUUUCUUGUCUCCACACAUGUGAUUGCUACAACCAGUGUCGAGAUACCACAUGUUUGGUUGAGUUUCUUCAUUCUCAUGGCACACCAUCAAAAGAGAUACUUCUUCUUCUUUUUCAACAAAGUUAGUUCUUUCAAUUCUUUGUUUAUUCAAAUUAGUUCGACAUUCAGAUUUGUAAUGCCUAUACCUGUGGCAUCUAAAACACUCCACUUUGGAUUUGUCUGCUGACCUUGGCCUAAAACCAGUUGAAUGUCGUCCUCCACGACCUCUUCCUCUCCCUUGGAAAUCACGAUAGGAAUAGCUUUCAGACUUUUGAUCAAAGAUGAAGCUGCUGCGAUCGUUGUUCUCCCUUCCUCUGCCUCUUCCUUUGUUCACCCUUGCUGCUGAUGAAGAAUGAUCUCCAGUUGAGACCUUCAAAGCUUGCUCUUCCGUCUCUUGUUGUAGUAGUUUUUGUUCAUGAACUAACAAGGAUCCUUGCAACUCAUCAAUGGAAAGUUCUUCAAUGUCCUUGGCUUCUUCUAUGGAACAAACAAUAAAGUUGAACUUUGGUGUCAAAGAUCAAAGAAUCUUUUCAACGAUGAUGACAUCCUCCGUCUUGUCGCCAUGAAUCCGCAUCUUAUUAACUAUUUCCAUUGUCCGAGAGAAGAAAUCUGUGAUUGUCUCUCCCGACUUCAUUCGUAGCAUUUCAAACUCCGAACGAAGCAUUUGAAGCUGCUGCUUCUUUGCUCUUGCUGAGCCUUGAUACUUUUUCUUCAUGGAAUCCCAUAUUUCCUUGGAGGUAUCCUUGCAAAGAAUUUUCUCCAAAAUGGAUCUGUCAAUUGCUUGGAAAAGAUAGUUUUUGGCCUUGAGAUCCUUCAAUUUUAAUGUAUCUAAAGCCGUUCUUUGCGCUGCCGUUAACACAGCUCCUUCAUCAGGUUCGGCAACUCCCAAAGAAACAACAUCCCAAUACUCCUUGAACUUGAGAAAAUUCUCCAUUAGCAUGCUCCAAUGAUCAUAGUGACCAUCAAAGUGUGGAAUAGCAGGUUGUACAAAUGUUUCUGAGGCCAUUACUGCUGUUGCAAAAUAGAACCACCACAAAAGCAACCUGCUGCUGCUACAAACGAAAAUAACCUGCUGCAAUACUCUCCUUUGACUGCUGCAAACGAAAGUACUUGCUGUAAUAAAAACUCUCUUUUGGUUCUCACCUUUUUACAGCACUCAAACACACACUUUUCUUCCUAACCUCGGCUCUGAUACCAAUGUUAAAAAACAGAGGAGAUGCAGAUAUGUAGAUAUGCACAAGAGCAGCGUUAAAAACAGAGGAGAACAGAGGAGAUGUUGAUAUUCACAAGAACAGAGGAACCAUCUGCAGAACCACACACAUAAAAAACUGACACCAUAGCCUUUAUAUAGGCUUUACAAAAACAAAUAACCACCACAGCCCACUAACUUCACACGUACAGCAACCAAUCCACAUAAUAGAAGUGCGUAAUAGACUAUUAACACAUAAAAAACAAACCAGAAACAUUGACUUGUUCAACAAAAAACACGAUGUGGGGCCGUCAUGUAUGGACACAAGAAAAGAAAUCAACAAAAUAUUAACUUAGAUGGCAAGAAAUUUAUUCCUCUUCUUGUGACCUUGAGGUUUAAGCCUCGUUGGGAGUAUUUCACAAGUAAAAUUCUAUUUGAAUGUCCUAGACUGUUAUGGGAAAGUGCGCCUUUAAGAUCUUUUGAGGAGAUAGACUUGGCAAGAUGUGCCAAAGUUAGCUUGGACAACCAUUUAACUGUGAAUAUUAAAAAAAGAAAGAAGGCAUAAAUCAAGCACAUCUUAUUACGGGAACCAGAAGUACCUAGACAUCAAUCGAGCCAGAUGACUUAGCAAUGGCGAUAACUUUUGAUGUCCACUGCUCUCAACAGACGAUUCAUCGGUGGGAUCAUCUGUGGAUUUCAUCAGUCUGGAUGCAGAGGUGAUUGGUCUGCAACGUCCCUCACUGUAAUCAUACCAAGAUCGUCUUUGUCCUAGAUAGAAUGUCAUGCCACACACACAUUAGCUUACAAGAACUUGACUUGUGGCCCAUUCUCUUGCUAACCCCAUCUAAUUUCUAUCCAAUAUUGCUUCCAAAAGAUCAGCCCUCAGAGAUUUCACAAAGUCGUAAAGAAAGUUAACCACUCAUCUCCUUUUCACUACAGAAAACGAUUUAAAGAAAUUAAAGUUAGUCGUACCACCUAGUGAUGACAGUCAUUUAGUUAUUUUCACCGGAUAACUUACUGUAGGGUAAUUUAUCUUAAUCUAUCAACAACGUAGAAUGAUAUCGAUUACAACAAGACAUGAAUGUUAUAUGUUUGUUUUGAGGAAAUGAAACUAGAAUAGAUAUAAUGGUCUCGGAAAAUUAGGGUUUUAUCAAUUCCCCCGAUUUGGUUUUCAGUUUUUGGUUCCUAAAAUGAUGUAGUUGGAAACCAGACCAGGUCGAAAUGGAGCCUGGAACCAGACCUAUUCCCAUAGGUUUGGUUCUCUGGUUCUCAAAUCUACUAUAGAACCAUGCUCAUCCCUAAAUAUAUCCUAUCAAAUAUUUUUUUCCCAUGUUUUUGUGAUUUUGAAAUUGCAAUUGUAAAUUUCUUCCUUUUGGCAAUUACUAAAUUUGGUAUGGAGUUGGCAACUUAUUUUCUCAACUUAUGAGUAAUCUGCAGAUACUAGUAAAGUUCCUAAAUCAUCGGUGAUUUGGGAACGCCGGAUAGAAUUUUCGUAAAAUCAAUUUCCGGAAAUUUUGAACACAAAGAAAUAAAUGUCUCAAGAAUCUAACUGGAAAUUUGAAUAGCAGUUUUGGAGUUGCUUUCCUCUUACAUAAUCCGACGAUUGUCUUUGCUUGUUUGAAAACAAACGGUGUAGAUGUGCCGAGCAUGAUUAUUGGUCAACCCAUAGGAACGUUGGAGGUUGCACAAUCGAGGGCACUCUCGAUUUGGUGAAUCGUAGAAAUCAAGAUGGAUAUUUUUAUCUCCUUUCAUGUAAAUUAUUUAAUAUUAAUGAUAUAUCAAUAUAAAUGAACUUAAAAAUGCGCAAACAAAGAUUAUAAUAAUCUUUUAUAAUUCACAGCCAAUUCUAGUAGAAGAGAGAAAAUAUAAUCAUUCAUUUUUGUGAUUAUAAAAAAUAGUACUUUGACUUUCUCGCUACUUUGAAACUUCAAUAAUAACCACAAAAUUACAGAGGAGUUUCGACUCUUUCUUGAACUUUUGACAUGAACUAGAGAGUUACGAAAGAAAAGAAGUUCCGUCUCUUUUGCCAUUUUCACGGAACAUUGACGUGAACUAAAAAACCAUGGAGGAGCCAUGAAAUUUCAACGUGAACUAGAGAUAGAAAGGAGAUGGAGAGGGAGAUGGAGACGGUAGGUUUUUAUUUAUUUAUUUAAAUUUCGUUGCCCUCAUUUUUCGAGCAUUAGAAUGAUCUUUUUAAGUUUGAAUUGGUUCAUUUAAAAUCUAGGUUCUUCUACUUCAUUUUUAUUUACUUAAAUCUUUUAUUCCCCUCCAACAUUCCUUAAUAAAAAUUCUAUCAAAUAAUAUAUUAUACUAUUAUACCUAAAAUAUGUUAAAAAAUGAUAUAUUGAGGGCUUUGUGGCCCUUGCUUAGAGGGGGUUGUCGGCCCUCACCUAGUGGCCACCGACCAUGGCUAACCCUUUGAACUAAGAAAGAAAGAAAAGAAAAAAAAGGAAAUUUAAAAAAUAAAAAUUGAUAAAAAAAUAAAAAUUUGUUAAAAGGCUAACGCCUAUGCUUUUCUAAUUACGCUCUUAUUCUUUAAUAUGCCUAAUCAAGCCCUUCUACUUUUCAAUUAUUUUAAUUAACUCCCCCAACACCAAAUUCGAUCAAAUUCAGCUUAUAGGGCCACCGGAUAACACUAAAGUAUGACGAUAAAAUAUGCGGAUGCCCACAUAGAGGUGCGAGGAAAGCUAUAGCCAUGUACACAAUAUCAAAGCUUGAUAUGGAUAUAAUUUAGCUACUCUAAAAUCAAACCUACUAUGGCAUAUCGGGUUGAGACUUGAGAGAGUAUCUAUUCAAGCAACGAAAAUAGAGGGAAGUGACAAGUAAGGAAGACAAAUCGAGAAAUACAGAGAGAGAUGCUUAUCACAAAUAGGAUAAGAAGACAAAAAUAAAUUAAGCAUAUGUCAUCACAGAAACCGAAGGUACUUCAAAAAUCAACCGAGCAAGACGACGUAGAAAUGCUGAUAACUUUGUUGUCCACUGCUACAAUUCAUCCUCAGCUGAUCAUAUACGGAUACUGUGACGGCCCGAGCGAUCGUCCUAGGACGUGCACAAGGAAGGGUCCCUCUCUUCUCUUGUCUAACAUUGCCUAGGGAGGGAGGUUUUGGUUAGCUUAUAAGGCUUGGGUUCCUCUAAUAUUUGUAACGCGUUUUAAAGCCGUGAGGGAAAAGACCAUGGCUGGGAUGGCGGUUCGUCCGCGCUAGGACGGGUGACCCAAAGCGGACAAUAUUACACAGUGGGGCCCGGAAUGUUAUAGAUACGCUCGCCCCAGCAGUCUGGGUUUAGAAUGAUUACAUUUUGUUAGUCAUUUGCUAAUAUCAUCAUCGUCCUAUGUAAAAUAUCAUGCCACAUGACUAUUAAUGAAAAAUCUAUCAACAUAUGUAUGGCAAUGCAUUUUGAUAGAGCUUAUAAAAACACGAUCUCUGGCCCAUUCCCUUAAUGACACCUAAAAAUGAGAAAAAAACUAAUUUACAUUGAUUUCAUUUUUUAUUACAGUACAACAAUUAGUUUAGAAACCGAAAAGGAGUUUGCAAUUGAAAAUAGGAGUACUGGGCGAGCUAAAAUAGAAAAGGUAACAUAAUGAAAAGGUAAAAAAAAAAAGAAACGUGAAAACUAAUAAAGUAGAACUUAAGAAUUAGACCCGAUAUUUUGGCACUUUUAAGUGAAAUUGCCAUUAUUAUUCUUUGAACAAUGCCACAGCAACUAAUUUUCAAUGAUAAUAUAACCAUUUUGAUAUACUUUCAAGCUAUAAUAAAAGUUAUAUGCACUAGGCCUAAUAGUUAGUAUAAAGUUCGGAAAAGAAGAAAAGUGAUUUUUCCGUACCAUGGGAGAUCGAUGGUUAAAUGGAGAGAAUAAAAGAAACCAUGGGAGAUCGAUGGUUAAAUGGAGAGAAUAAAAGAAACGUGAAAAUUUUGGGUAACUCACAAUAAAUAAACUCGAUGAAGGGUUCGAGGGAGAUAGGGGCAAGGGGAUGGUCCCACUCCAGCGCUUGCCACGUCGCCUUGUUAUCUAUGAAAAUCUUUCCAAGGGAGGGGGGAGGAGAAAGGAGGCCAUUGUCAAGUAGGUGCAGUCGCAAAGGAAUACUCUUCAGCUCCGGACAAUCGUAUAUUUCAAUAUAUUGGAUGUGAUCGCAACUCUCCAUCCGAUCACAUAUCCUCUUCAGUUCCCAAAGAUUCUUUAGAGUCAAGUGUGUUAACUUUGGGAAGGAGGAUUGCGUCAUGUUCGGAGCAAUGCCUAUUAUCACCUCUAUGCCCUCGCAGUUUAUGAUUAUUAUAUCUCGGAGGAAAGGGAUGUGGAGCAACAUAUCGUGCGUUAGCAGCACCCCCUUCAUGGUGUUGCAUCUUACAAUUUUAAUCUCCAUAAGAAGACAAGUGGCACCGAUUGGCAAUGGCCCACCUAUUAUUUCCUCUAAUUUCUCACAAUAAAUUAUUCCAAUGGACUUCAGAUUUGGAAGGCGAGUGGUCAGCCAGUCCCAUUCCACCACUCUUUUCAUUUUAUGACAACAUUGCACUUCCGCAGAGUUUAGAUUGGGCGCAGCUAAAUCGAUCCCUUCCAGUUCCUCUGAGCCUGUGAUUGUAAACCAGCGUAGAUGUGGAAGCCCCUGUCCCUCCACUGAGAGACGCUUCAAUUUGGAACAGCAAUUGAUGUCCAGUCCCUCCAGCUGAGGGAAGUGGACAGCACCCAGCUCCUCCAACUUCUCGCAAUCUAGAAUCUUUUAUAGUCAGCUCCUUUAGAUUCUCCAGUGGGCCUACCUCACUCAAACUUGUCACCCCACUGCCCCCUCCUACUUCCAGUACUUGCACAUUUCUCGGAAGCAAAUUGCGGCCUUCCCCACCGAUAAGUCCAUCUACCCUUUGGCGUAAUAGCAUCGCGACUUUCAAUACGUACACAUAUCCUCUGCUCAUGCCAAUUGGAAACGCCUUGUUCACGAGGUUUUACACAAAACAAUUCAAAGAAAUUAGAUACUUGAAUGUAAACAACAUGAAGAAAUUAGAGACUUCCCUGACUAAUCAAGCUUAAUCAAAUUAAACAGAAAGAAAUUCAAUAUGUGCAAAUAUGCAAUUGGAAGUCCAAGAACAGGUGUUCCUUUCUAAAAACGAGUAAGACUAAUUUACACUGGUUUAAUUUUUUGAUUAAAGUGCAGAGAUUAAUUUAAAAAGCAUGUUAGAGUUCGAAAGCGAAAAUAGAAGUACUAGAUGAGGGAAAACAGAAUAGGCAACAAAAAGAAAAUGUAAAAAGCAAUUAACAUGCUCCUUUAAACUCGCCCAACCCAUGAAGUAGAAGUCAGGAAUUGAUUCUAUAUUUUGGCACUUUUAAACGUCAUAAUUUACCAAAAUGAAGAAGAAGUGUAGUAUUUUUAAGGUACAAUAGGUUAAAAAGAGAGAGAGAGAGUGAGGACUGUUCAGUAUUAUCCUUUCAAAGUGAAAGGUGUGUUUUCUUUAUCGAAAUUUCAAUAAUAAUAUAACCAUUUUGAUAUACUUUCGAGUUGUGAUAAAAGUCAUACACACUGGGUCUAACAGUGUGGUAUUAAGUUUCCCCAAAAAAAAAAGAGGGAAACUUACUGUACCGCGGGAGUGCAUCCUUCGAAAGGCCCACAGGAGAUGGAGAGGAUAAAAGAAAAUUAAAAAUUUGCGGGUGACUUACCAUAAUCCCAGGCUAAGUGUCGAAGUGAAGGAUGGAAAGGGGAAUGGUCCCACUCCAGCGACUGCCACGUCAGCUCAUCUAUCCAAAUAUCAUCAUCUAUCCAAAUACCAUAAUCAUCGCAAGGACCCUUGUCAAGCAGAGGAAGCCUCUUCAGCUUCGGACAGUCUUCUAUCUUCAUAUAUUGGAUUGAAAGCCAACUCACGGUCCCUUCACAUAUGGUCUUCAGCUCUGGAAGAAUCCUUGAAAGUCAGGUUUAUUAAAUGUAGGGGCUGAACGAAGCUCAUUAUCGGCUCUACGCUAAUGCAGCCUGGGACCACUACAUGUUGGAGGAAAGGAAGGUUGAGCAACACGUCAUGCCUCAAGUUGCUGCAUCCUUCUAUAUCAAUCUUUGUAAGACAACAAGGUGCACCGAUCGGCGGUAGCCCACCUACUAUCUCCUCUAGUUGCUCGCAAUCUUUUAUUUUAAUGGACCUUAGAUUUGGAAGGUGAGUGGCUAGCCACUGCCAUUUCACCACCCACUUCAUUUUAGGACACCUGUACACUUUUAUAUUAUAAAGAAAAGGUGCCGCUAUAUUAAUCCCCUCUAGUUCCUCUGAGCCCUCGAUUUUUAACCAUUGUAGACAUCGGAGCUCGUGCCCCUCCUUCAAGAAAUGCUUCAGUUUGGUACACCGAGUGAUAUUCAGUCUCGGUAGGCGAGGGAAGUGGACAGCACCCAGCUCCUCCAGCUUCUCCCAUUCCUUUAUCUUCAGCUCCUCUAGAUUAUUAAGUGGGCCUACCUCGCACAAACUUGUCACCUCAUCGCAUUGUCCCACUUCCAGUACUUGCACAUUUUUGGGAAAUAGAGCGCGGCCAUCCCCACCAAUUUCUCCAUUUACCAUUGCCGCAAUACUAUGGCAACUUUCGAUGAUUAUACGCCUCUCGUGCUUAUUAUCCCUAAAGAAGUAGUUUCCUGAUAAACUCAGUGCCAGGUCAUAUGAUUGGGAGCUGUUUUGCUCGACAAGCCUCACACAUGCAUUGAAUGUUUCAACAUUUGGAACAGAGCAAUAGAAUCCUUCCACUGAGCAAUAGAAUCGUUCCACCAAUGUUAAUUCUAUCACUUCCUCCCAUGCCAUAUCGUAAUUAAUCACCAGAUAUUGCAAGUUCACCAGCUUCCCCAACACUCCUUCUGGUAACCCCUUGAUCUAUGUGCCAAGCAGGUCAAGGUACGUUAGCUUUACCAGCAUCUCCAUUCCCUCCGGCACUUCUCCAAGCAUAACACACCCACUAAGGUCCAACUUUUUUAGAGCUUUGAACUUUCGUACACAAGGUACACAAUGUAAUUCCUUACACUCUCGGAGUAACAGUGCUUCUAAGCUCUCCAAGUGAGAUAUAGUGUCCGGUAAUUCCGUGAUUUUUGUUUUGCUGAGAUCUAGAACCUUCAACCCCUUCAUAUGCUUGAAGAAAGAUUUGUGGAUGGCUUCCAAAGAGACAUUGUUAUCCAACGACAGCCUCAUAAGUUUAGGGCAAUUUGGCGAUAUGCCGUAUGGGAUUUCUUUUAUAUCGUUGCUUUGUAAAAAGACUUUCUCUAGGUGAUCGGUCCAGAACUUAUCCUUUGGAAUCUCUUUCAAUCCCAUGUUGGCCUUGACCAUGUGAGUUGUGCUCGUCACUAUUUGCAAUGCCAUGUCCCUUAUCAAGGGGUGUACUAACAGAUAUUCUGUGUCUUUAUCAACCCCCAGGCAAGCCUUUUUUAUUUUGUCCAAUAUGGUGUUACCUUUAUUGUGCAAUUCUUGCCGAGUGGCUAUUCCACUUAACAAGCCCUCAUCCAUGAAAGAUUCUAUCAAAACCUUUUCGAUGAUUUCAGCUUUAGAGUACUCUCCAAAACAGAGUAUUAAAUGCAAGAAAGACUGCUGCACUUGAAGAUUACCCAAGUUCAUGUAACUGAGUUUCAGUUUCUUGAACACACCAAGUUCCAUCAUCGAAUUUUCUAAUUGCUGCAACAAGUCUUUCCAUUCAUGCACUCCCUUUGGUCCCCUCAUCUGAGUUGCAAUCUCAAUGAUCCCAAGUGGCAAACCUCCACACUUAUCCAAAAUGGAGCUUGCAAUUUUUUUAACUUCUGAAGGGAGGUCUCUCCCAAAGCAAAGCUUUUUUAAAAAUAAGACCCAACAAUCAUCUCGCAAAUCUAGAGGACCUAUUUUGACUUGUUUUUGGCAGACCAUCUUCUCAUAUACAUCUAGCAAUCGAGUUGUCAUUACCAACUUAAUGCUUCCUUUCUCAACUGGAAUUCCCACAUCCUCAAUGUCAAAGUGCAUCGACAGACCAUCUAAACAUAAGACAGCUCUCUUUCUCUUCAAAUGCCUAUUCAAUAUGCAUGCCCUCCUCUUCACAUCCUUAUCCAUUGAGAGAUUGUCUAGUCCGACUACAUUGGCAAUCUCGUUUUGUAGUUUAUAGAUGCUAAACUUCCGAGGUACAGUGACCCAGAACACAUCAUUAAAGUUAGGAUCCUCAAGUACUCUAUUAUGGACAUGCAUUAGAAUGGUUGUCUUGCCAACUCCCGCCAUUCCAUAAAUACCAAUGAUGACAAUCUCAUCCUCCAUUAGAUAGUUGCAAAUCUUAUUUAUUGUCUUCUUACUUUCCUUGUCUACUAGCCCUGUUGUUACCAAGGGUGAACUAUUCCUACGUCCAGCAGCAUGUGUUGUCCACCCUUUUCGGAAGCUACAGUGGCCUAGAAUAUCUUAAACUUCUUUGCUCAAAUCAUUUACUCUUUCUACCUGCUGUGGAGAAAGAGAUCUACCUUCUCGGAAUGCUUGGACCAUGCUCCAGUAUUCUCCUCUUAUCCUUUGUGCUUUCCUACACCAUGUCUCCAACCCAUCCAUGUCUGCUUCUCGAUUGCUUAGUUCUUCCAGCUUUCUUUUCAGAGUUGGCAUAUUCUUGUCAACCAGCCCACAAGCACCUGGUUGACCAUCCACGAGUGCAUCAUCUGUCCUCGCAUCUAACAUCAAGGAAAUACUCAGUAUUUUCUAGAAACAUAAUGUUCACAAAACAAUAUGAAAUAAGACGAAAUGUAAGGUUGUGUAUAUAUAAGAGAAAGAAAGGCGGGGGGGGGGGUGCCUUGGGGGUCCUUGGGAUUGGGCGAGAGAAAGAGAAAGAGAAAGAAAGGGGGCGAGAGCAUUUGCCCUGUUGCUGGGUUUAGUUGCUAUCGGUUUGCUUUGAGCUGUUGAUGGGUUCAGGUAGUAUCUGGGCCUGUAUGGGAUGGGUUGAAUUGAUAUUUUGACCAGUAUAGGAUGGGUUGAAUCGUUAUUUAGGCAUGUAUGGGAAGUGGUUCUCCCUGUAUUUUACAUUAAUAUAAAAAGUUGAAAAUUGAAGUAUGUAUUUUAGCAUAAAUUACUCGUGAAAACGUAUCAUAUUUCAUAUGAAUCUUCAUGUUUUAAACAAAGUGCAAUUCCAAGUAAUAUAUAUUAGUGUAAAAUAUAUGGACUUGAUAACAGUUAGGGAAUUUUUAAUGGUAGUUAUUACAUGACAUAAAGGAAUAUGUAUGAAAUCAACUCCAUUACUGUCAUAUUAAGAGAAAAUAAUAAAAUCUUUCAAAUAAAUAUUUAAAAAGGAAAAAAAAGAGUUACAAAGAAUGUUUGAGAUUUCAAUAAUUGCUAAUUUGCAACAUUAGAGAUUAUUAAAACUAAUCCUUUUUCCUCAUGGUAUUGAAUGGGGUAAGUAAUCCUAGUUAAAGGCAAAAUGAGUGGAGAGUGCAACAAAAUACCACUUGCAAAGAGAAUAAGCAAUCUCUUUCAAUUUAGACUCCUAAGUGUCACUUCUAAAGGCAACACUCAAGAAUGAGCUUGUUAUUAUAUAUUUUUAUAGAUGCUAACAUUUAUGUAUCUAUUCUUUCAAAAUGUUCGAGCGGUACAAUACUAGAAAAAUUUAGAUCAACCCCAUAAGUUAAAAGUAGAAGUUAAAAAUAAAUGUCCCCUUAACCAGACCCUAAGUUGAAAUUUGAAAUUUGAAAUUUGAAAUUUGAAAUUAAAGCCUUAAAAAAAGGAGAUAUACCUCAUAUCUACAUCUAAGGUAUGAAGACUAAUAUCCCAACUGUUCUAUAAAAAAAGAACUAUACUUGCUUUCAAUUGGAUCAUUGAUUGGUGGGUGACCCAUUUGAAUGUCACUCAAACGCGAUGGUAACUAAUAGCACCAGGAGAAAACUGAACCAUAUAUUAUCGAUGGCUUGGAGACAAUGCAUGACAAUAUUUUGUCCCAUUAUCGUACUUUUGUUAAUGUCCCAACAAUUCCAACCAUACUUAUUCAAAAAUAUGAAAACAAGCAAUAUUCAUAUAAUUUAAAUUUAAGAUGAAUGAAGGUGCUGUUAGUUAAAAUCUCAUAUAGGCGGCAUUUGAAUGUGAAAACAAUCAAUUAAAGGAUGAUUUGGAGGUAAGUAUGAAUCAUUGAAAGAGCAAAUAAUUUAUUGUACGCUGUCAGAAAAUAAUCAUAUGUUUAUGAUGACUUCUUUUCUGUCAUUACAUAUUUUGUGAUCCGUCGAGAAGCAGUCAAUUUAAAUUUUAGGUUCAUCUAAUACUUUUUAGUUUGAAAUUAAAGUAUUUAGAUAUGAUCAAAUGCAUGAUUAAAGAUAAUUCCUAUCUCUGUGCGGUUGACAGACAUCAAAGGUUCCCAUGAAAUAUCUUUUAUGCAGCACUUUACUUUAAAUUACUAACAGUAAUUGGCAUAUAAACCUUGUAAUUUUAUUUCCAAUAAAGAUUUCGUGUUGUUAAUUUUCUUGAAAUGUGUUGCUUGGCCAAGAAAUAUGAGAUCAGUACACAUUUGGACUCGUUUAAGGGGAAACAAGGAAAUUUUCAUGAAUUUUGUGAAGUCGUCAAGACAAUACCAGUCCCCUUGACACAUCGAAAAUAUUUUGAAAACUGGAAAGUGCCUACCAAAUGCAUGCUUACCCCUUCUAUGCAUCCUCUUUUUUAAUUUGGAAGUGGUUUUGGUAAUUCGUUAGGGAAACAUGGAUGAAAUAUGAAAUGAUGUUCACAAUUUUGGCACACGAGAUUGAAAUAUACUCUCUCUCUCUCUCUCACGUAGGUGAUUUGAGGGGAAAGUUCACUGAUCAAGCGAUCUCAUAUACACCUCCCUCCCUCCCUCCCUCCCUCCCUCCCUCCCUCUCUCAGCUCCCAUGGUUCACACGACUCUGUUCCUUUGUUUAAAAGUAAAUGCUCUUCACGUAGGUGAUUUGAGGGGAUAGAGAGAGCCAUGGCUUUUCAAGAUUUGAAUGUCACACUUGAAAAGCAUUUGUCUGUUCAUUUUCAAAGAACUAUUGAUUAUUAUUGACCGACUCUUAAACUUCUCUGUUCAUUUUCUAUUACUAUUAGGAAUCUAAAUGUCCUGCUAUAUCCAAAUUCUUAGGUAAGGAUUAGAAAACAAAUUCGGUAUCCUGCAUGAGCUUUUAGCAUAUGGUGAAUUUCGAAGUUGCACAUACCUUGUGGAACCUCUGCAUUGGGUUCUCCCCCUUCUACAUUUACUUGGGGUGGCAUGUGAGUCAAAGCUUCAGGUGCAAGGUCUCCGCCGCUGCUGGGAUGACUCAAAUUCCAUGGCUGAAUGUUAGAAUUAAUGCCAUGAGAUUGAGGAGGUUGUGUCCAGAAUAAAAUGUCCCCAUGUGUGGUCAUGUUUUGAGUAGGAAGAUACUGACUGGGCACAUUCAUCUCAUGCAAUGGAUGAAAGUCUGAUGAACUUGCACCUACAGUGCUUAUGGCAUUAGAGCUCAGGUAUGGCAUGGCAACAAAUGAAGUCUCUCUCCGACCAUCUUGAUUGCUUGCAAUCACAGGCUGACCAUCUUCAUUGCUUGCAAUCACAGGCCAACCAUUGCUUAUGGCAUUAGAGCUCAGGUAUGGCAUGGCAACAAAUGAAGUCUCU
This 70989-nucleotide long non-coding RNA is filed under the name Eucalyptus grandis. Its description in RNAcentral is "long non-coding RNA (EGRA_LNC003580)". The record is from RNAcentral. Lineage: Eukaryota; Viridiplantae; Streptophyta; Magnoliopsida; Myrtales; Myrtaceae.